Molecule: long non-coding RNA, 46827 nt
Filed under: Citrus sinensis (sweet orange)
Lineage: Eukaryota; Viridiplantae; Streptophyta; Magnoliopsida; Sapindales; Rutaceae
Description: long non-coding RNA (CSIN_LNC004505)
Source: RNAcentral
UGAUUUACACCCAAAACAACUCUUCAUAUUCAUCAGUAUUAAAGGCUUCAAUAAAAAAUCUCAUUUUCUCAACCCCCACAAACCCGAAACCUGUAUUCGUCAUCACCCCAUUUCAUGUGUCCGAAAUUCAAGCAGCCGUUAAAUGCUCCAAAAAAAAUGGUCUGCAAAUUAGAGUGCGAAGUGGAGGUCAUGAUCAUGAGGGUCUUUCCUCUAUUUCUGACGUUCCUUUCAUCAUCAUUGAUUUGAUAAAUUUCAUUGAGAUCAGUGUUGAUGUAGAAGAAAAAACAGCAUGGGUUGAAUCUGGUGCUACCAUCGGGCAACUUAAUUAUAGAAUUGCUGAGAAGAGCCAGAAUCUGCUAACCUUUCCGGUAGGAACUUGCCCUGGUGUGGGCGUUGGUGGACAUUUUAGUGGGGGCGGCUACGGUGUCCUGUUGCGUAAGUACGGGCUGUCUGCUGACCACAUAGUUGAUGCUCACAUGGUUGACGUCAAAGGUGAGAAAUUUUAAAGAACAAAUACAGAGAAAAUAGCUUCUCAAAAAAAAAAAAAAACAAUUACAGAGAAAAUAGCAAUAAUAAGAUUCAGAGUAGGUUUAAUAAGUGAGUUUAUACAGGUGACAGAAUUUGAAGGUUUUUAUUACCAUUUCUCAAACUAUGGAGAGUGGCGAAUUGCUAUAAUCAGUAUAAUUUGAGAAUGAAUGACAAACAAUAAUUAAUCAAUCAAUUAUUUUUCUAUCCAGAAUUUAGGGAAAAAAAUAUUAAGAGUGGAUAAAACUCAGAUCAAUUUUGCAGUAAUAUAUCUCGGCCAAGUCUCUAGGGCUCAUUCAAAUAGGGGCGGAUUUACUAUAGGAAGUCCCCACUGGAAAAAAAAAUCUUCAAUAAUUAACUUAGUUUUCUUAAAAUUCUCAAUAAAUUUUUCUGAAGCACCCACUAAUUUAUAGUCAAGCUUGCAAUACUUCGUUACACUUAAAUUCUCACACUCCAAAAUUUUAAAUUCAAAUAAAAAAAGAUGGGCUUUGCAAACUAAAAUCAAACCCAUAAAUAUUAAUAUUAAUAUUAAUUUAAUUUUUAGACGAGCCACAAACUCAUUAAUAAUUUUUUUAUUAAUCUUACUUUUUUCAAUUCCACCACUAGUCCAGCGCCCAUAAAAAAUCCCAAACAUCUUUUUAUUUUUGUUGUUUACAUAGAAAAAGACCUAUUGAAUAACAUUGAUAAUAAAGUUGUAAUACAAUGUAUUAAUGUAUGAACACUCGUAUGCUGUAGCAUUAAAAAUCUUUUAAAUUUAUAUAUUUAUUACUUUUUGAAUCUUUUUAUAUUACCAUUGAAUAAGCCCUCAGUGAACCACUAUGCUGUCUCCGCCCCUGUUCAAUCAUAUGUCGAUUUGUCUGCAUUUUCCAUCUUUGUUUCGCUUCUUUUCAGGUAGAUUUCUAAAUAGAGAAUCAAUGGGAGAAGAUCUAUUUUGGGCCAUUCGCGGAGGCGGAGGAGCUAGCUUUGGAAUCAUUGUUUCGUGGAAAAUAAAUCUAGUUGCUGUUCCACCAACUGUGACGGUAUUCAACGUCCCGAGAACCUUAGAACAAAACGCAACAAAGCUACUUUUCAAAUGGCAGUGCAUUGCAGACAAGGUUCAUGAAGAUUUAUUCAUCUCACCCUUGUUAUCACGAGUGAAUUCCACUAUGGUCUCUGCAUUCACGGCCUUGUUUCUUGGUGGGGUUGAUAGGCUGCUUCCAUUGAUCCAAGACAGUUUUCCUGAGCUCGGUUUGACUAGAAAAGACUGCAGAGAAAUGACUUUUGUUGAAUCUAUCGUCUAUUUUGAUGGUUAUGAGGUUGAAGAUCCGAUUAAUGUGGAUGUAUUGCUUGGUAGGGAUUUUCACGUAAGGUUUAUCAGAGGAAAAGCAGACUAUUUAACAGAACCAAUUCCUGAAGAAGCUUUUCAAGGAAUUUAUGAUAUAUUUUUUGAACAGGAUCAGGAAACUAACGGCGUUCUAUUGUUUUUUCCUUAUGGUGGGAAGAUAAGUGAGAUUUCAGAGUCCGAAAUUCCGUACCCACAUAGAGCUGGUAACAUAUACACACUUUUAUACUAUGCGGGUUGGGAUCUAGAAUCAACUGAUGACACAUAUCAAAGGCAUGACAAUAUGCUCAAAAAGUUGUUCAAUUAUAUGACUCCCUAUGUUGCCAAAAAUCCUAGAACAGCGUAUAUUAAUUACAGGGAUCUUGACGUCGGAACAAAUGACAAAUUAGGCCACACAAGCGUCCAGGAAGCCAGCGUUUGGGGUAAAAAGUAUUUCAAAAAUAAUUUCUACAGGUUGGUGCAUGUGAAAACUAUGGUGGAUCCUGAAAAUUUCUUCAGAAAUGAACAAAGCAUUCCCCCUUUCAACUUGGUGAAAGAUGAACUGUGAGCAAGUCCAAGGCUGCCCUUGCUAGUUAAUAAACGUAGUGCAGGCUAGGGUCAGAUAAUAUAUGUGUGUGUGUGUGUGUGUGUGUGAGAGAGAGAGAGAGAGAUAGAGAGAGAUAAUUGUAUUGCUAAAUAAUUUCUGCUUUAUAUAGUCUUUUUAUGUGCAAAGUAUACCUUUUUUAUUUUCUGUUUUUCCUCUUUUGGGCUUAGAUUAGCAGGGAAAUAGAGGAUUUGGUGCCAAAGAGAAGUAGUAAAAAUUUUUGGGUACUUGCAUGCUCUUUCUAUAUUAUUAGGGUGGUAACGUACAUGAAAUUUAUAUUUCAUUGCUUUAUGCAUAACUCUCUCUUUUAUUUUUUAUUUGAAAUUUUUGUUCUCUCAAGCAAUAUUAAUUUUAAGCGACACUAACAUAAGAAAAUAAUUAUUAUUUAUUAACAAUAUGAAAGUAGCACUAUCAGCAAUGUUUGAGAACAAUCAAAUUUGAUUUCUAAGAUUUGAGAGAAUUUGCACCCUUUUUAAAUUAUCAUUUUUUAAUAAUAUAUAAUGGUAAAAAAUUAUAGGUUAUGGGCCCAUGUAUGCAGGAAGGUCCAGCCCACAUCCUAAUUGUAAGGCCUUGGACUUGAAAUAAAGUAGUGGUUUUAUAUAUGAGUCCAGCUAUGGUACCAUAGUGAUACCAUAUUUUUACCCUUUAUAUAUAUUUUUUUUUCAAAAAAGAACAUUCUUUCAUCAAUCGGACAAUGAAGUGAAUGGUUAGAUUCUAAAAUUUAUUACAAAAUUUCUAGUUCAUUUGGAUAUUUGUUAUCUGCAACGCUCACAUUCCAAUAUUUGUGUAAGAAUAUGGUUACAAAGAUUUUGUUAAAGCGAACGUAUAAAGUAGAAAGUUCACAUCAAAAUCAUAUUUAAUUAGUACGAUUUUAAAAGACUUAUAAAUUAACCCUACAACACGUCAAAGGGAAUGAAGAAAUGAGUAAAAUGUAAGCCUUCUAGAUUCUUAGUUUUACGUAUUUAUUUAUACCUUAAAUAUGAAUUCAGCCGAUUCAAAGCUAUGAAUAUUGGCCCCAAAAUUUUCAAUUCAGUUCUUCAAUCUAUAUCUCAUUGUCUCAAUGCGGGGCACUGGGAAGCCAGUAUAGGACUAGCUGGGGUACAUCCCCAGGUGGUUUUGGGAAAUUGCCCCCAUCUGUGUGUUUAAAAUUAUGAAAAAUCCUUCUUGAUUGUGAAAAGUUUAGUAAUUGCCCAUAGUUUAAAAAUUGAAUUUACUUACCCAUGGUUAGAGAUAGUCAUUGGGCUAUACGGGCUCAUUAAAAAAUGGCCAUUUUGGCCCAACAUAAAAGUAAAUCUGAGUCCUAACAUGGCCCAUAGGUACAGCAUAUGUCGCCCGUGCUGGCCUGUCGUACAAUAUGGGCCCUGCCUUGGGUCAUCCCACGGGCCUCAAUUUUAAUAAAGAAUUUAUUUUUUUUGGUUUUUGUCGAGUCAUGAUUCUAUUGAUCCAUAUCAAGUUAUCCACUAAAUUCAAGUGUUCAGCAAUAAUAAUAAAUAUUGAUAUUUGAUAACUAAUAACUAAUAAUAAAUUAUGAAUUAAAAGAGUUUAUAAUGUUAUUUUUAAUUUAAUUGAGUAAUAUUUUUAUUUACUCUUUAAAAAUAAAAUUAUUAAUAACGAUUCAAAUCAUUCAAUAAAAUUUAAAUUAACUCAGUUAUAGGUUUAUCAAUGGAAAAUUAGAAAUUCAAAAUACAAUGUAAAAUUCCAAAUUUAAUUUUUAAAGUUUAAACUUUAGCUUUUAAGUUUGUAUUUUUAUUUUCUUCAACAAACUAAAAUAAGAAAUUAACAAAAAAAAAUUUCAAAAAAAUUGGAGUUGAUCCAUGGGCUCGUGUCUUGGCCAUUGCCAUGCCUUAUAAGAUUUCGUUCUUAAUAUAUAAUCAGCUUCCUCAAAAAAUGAAUUCUUAAUGUAGAAAUAAAUCAAUGAAUAUUAUAUUUAUAGUGCCAUAUAUAUUGUUAUUUGAACUUUUUGAAGUUAUAUUGCCCUUUUUUUUAAGGUUUGGAUGGUAAUGAGAAAUCUUACUCAUUAAUACUAAUUCUCACCGGCUUACCCUAUAUUAUUCACUCAAAUGACUGCAAGUGCAAGAUAUAAUACAGUCAACUGAGCUAUGCUUAAGAAAUGAAAUUGUAAUACACGUUGAAUGUGCCCCAACUAAAUUUUUUUUUUUUACUGCGUCCAUGUAUCUCGUUGUUAUAUAUUUAGAUGUACUUGAAAAUUAAAGUGUAAUAUUGUUGUUAACGAGAAAAAAAAGGGGCCAAAAAUAGAACAUUUUAACUAUCCUUUAAAUUCAGUAAGCAUUUUUAUUAUAAGCCAUUCAAGACAUCAUUCAAUAAAGGAAAAUUAUCAGCCAUAUACCCUUAAAUGAUAUCAGUAUAAAACGUGCUACACCACUUUUUAAGUAUAUCACUCGCAUACCCUAAGUUGACAAAACACUUCUGCUGUCCACCAAUCCGUUAACUGCCGUUUGCAAGCGUUAACAUCAUAAGGGUAAUCUAGUCUUUUUUAAGAAACGACAUGUCAUUCUAUUUACCUAAUAAAAUAUGACAUGUCAUAUGAUAUAUAUUGAUAAAAAUGACAUAUCAUCCCAUUUAUCGGAUAAAUGUUAAUAAUUGCUAAAAAAAAGCUACUUUACAACCGAAUUUACUCCUCCAAAAGUUAACUUAAAUUUUUGAAAAUCUACUCCUCCAAGCUCCAACUGAAAUUUUGUAUGGUAUAAUAUUUAUAAUUGUAAAUAAUAUAUUGUUAAUAAUUUUUUAUGGUAUAAUAUGAAUAUUUUUUACGGAUAAUUGUUAAUAAUAUGUACCAUUAAUAAUUCAUAUUUUUUUAAUAAAUAUAUUGUUAAUAAAAAAAUAAAAAAAUUGUGUAUUAAAAAUUUACGUAAAUUUUUUUGGUAAAUUUAUCUUUUUACCUCAUUUUGAGUUUCAAGGGCGAAAUAGUUAAUUUGCCACAAUUCUGUUAACUUUCUAAUAGAAGUUAACGGAUUAGUGGACGGCAGAAGUGUUUUGUCAACUUAGGGUAUACGAGUGAUACUCUGAAAAAAUAUUGUAGCACGUUUGAUACGAGCGUCAUUUAAGAGCAUAUGACUGAUAAUUUCCCUUCAAUAAAGGGUAAAGAACAUGAAAAACAGUGAUAACAAAAAGUUAUUAAAUUAUAGUAUCUAGUCAUACACAUUUUUUAUUGGAGAAACAAAAUAGAAAAACAUCUAACAUAAAAAAUGUUUCUCUCAUUUCAUAAAAUAUAUGGGAGCUCUUGAAAUUGAAUCUGUAUAGGGUAAAAAAUUGAUUUUGUUAAGAACAAUAGUCUUAUUAUCUACUUACACGAGUACCUCUUUAUAUAUAGGCAAAGUCAUUUUAUCUUAGAACAGAUUUUAAAAAAUUGUGUACGGAGCACGUGAUUAUGCACAUUCCUAGGCUGGCCCUGGCUAUUCUAAUUAAGUGAAAAAUAUAAAUCUGAGAUAAAGAUAUAACAUUUGAAAAUUUACCCUGUUAACGUGAAUUAUUAGUUUGUCCCCUUUGUUUUACACUAAAUUUUGUAAUAGCCUACUAAACUUUAUGGCUUACAAUGCUUCAAGAAUAAAAUUUAUCUAAUAUUUAACUAAUUUCUUAAAUAAAAUAAUUAUUACUAACAUUAAUUAUUUCAAAAAUUUUAGGCUUAUAGCAAACCAAACUGUGGCGAUCGUAAAUCAUUGUGGAAACAUAUUCGACUAGAGUCACCUACUACGGGUAACACCACAUAACUUUUGUUGAUUCUAUUUUUGAUUUAUUGAUAAUAAUAAUUAUAGGAUUGAUAUAUGGUACAUAACAAUGUACUUUAACAAUUCCCCCUCAAUGUUUAUCAUCACAUGGACAUCACGAUGACUCUUCAAUGUUUAUCGUCACCCAUUCUAGACUCCUCCAUAGAUUCCUCAUGAUGAUUCAAUCAAACGGCUGUGAUGAGCUCUAUUGACGGCUUUGAAUUAAUUCUUCUUUCCUGCUCAUGAACUCUCAUUGCGAGACUUCAUCGAACGAUUCUUUCUUUUAACUUGCGCCCAAUCAAACCAAGUUACUUGAAUCAACUCCCUAAAGCAAAUAGUUUUUGCGCAUAAUUUUAAUAUAUUCGUAAGUUUACAAAUCUUUAAAAUUGGCAUAAUAGUAAUGAGAUUGAUGAGCAUAAUUUAUAUACAUAUUUUACCUUUUAUUAUAUAAUUGCUAGUUAAUUUUAUUUAUUAUUUUUAAUUAAUUGAAUUAUUUUAUUAAAUAGGGAGUUAAUUGGAGAUUAUGGAUGAAAAGUACAUAAAGAAUAAUAAAUGGACAGCAUUAAAGAUCAAAUCAAUUUGUGAAAGUAAUUAAGGAGAUGUGCAAGAAAUUCUGUUCGAAGAAAACAAAGCCAAUAAAUUGAAUUCUCCAUGCUCGUGCAAACAAAGAAGAAGGUUAAAGCUAAAGUGGGCAGCACAUAAAACAAAUCUUUUAAUUAAGCCUUUGAAUGGAAAGUCAAAGUAGAAUAAAGGAAGGAAAUCAAUAGCUUUUGGCUUUUAUGAGAAGAAAAUCUGCAGUAGUUCGACUUUCAUGGCUGCAUUUAUUUCUUUUGUUGCUCACAAUUUAAGUAUGUUUAGCUAAUUUUCUUAUACUGAGGUUAAGGAUGAAACCCUAUUCAAUGAAAUAAUUAUCUCUUUUUAUUUAAUUAAUUCCCUAUAUAUGUUCUUUGAUGAUUAUGGUUUUUAUUUCACAUGAUUAAUUGGAUGUUAUUAAAAUCUUUUCAUCAAUUCUGUCAUGCAUUAUUGAUUGUUAGGAUUAAUAUUCGAUUAAUUCUAUGCUUGGAUCUAUAAAGUUUAUACAUGAUUAUCUUUGAUUUUAUGUCUUUCAUUAAAUUGUUUACAUGGAGUGCUUAGGAAACUUUGACUCUUUGUUAUUCAAUAUGUUUACAUGGGAGGCUUAGAUGUCAUAUUAUUAAGCAGAAAAAGAACUUACAUUAGAUUUAAUUACUUGGGCUUAAUUGUUAUAUCCAUGAGAUAACAUAGAUUGAUUUCGAGUUGUCACUGUAAAAUUGGGGAUUAAUUAAUAAUUAGAUAAUUACUAGUUGAAUAGUGGUGGAUUCUGAAACCUUGGUAAUUCUUAUCUUAUUGAAUUCUCCUUUAUUUUAAUUGCUUCCUUAGUUUAAUUGGUUUAAUUUUCUUAAAAACUCAAUUUGCUCAACUAGGUUAGAAUUAAUAUUAAUUUUAGAUUUAAAUUAGACUUUUUAAUUUAUAACAAUCCUUGUGGGAUCGACCUCGUUACCACUAUUCUAUUUCUAGAUUUGUGUGCUUGCGAGUAUAUUAAAAUUUUCACAACAAGUUUUUGGCGCCGUUGCCGGGGAUUGUGCGAGAAAGUCAAGUUUAAUCUAGGUUAAUUUGAUUUUUCCACUAGUUAUAAUUUAGGUUGUCUUUUAUUUUAUUUAUUCAAUUUUUAUUUUUAUUUUAUUUUAUUUUGAAUUCAUUCUUUAGUUGUUUAAUUUCUUUUUUUUUUAAUUUCGUUUAUUCUCAUUAUUGUUGGUUUAUUUUAUUUUAUUUUCUUUCCUUGUCUGGUUAGUUUAUGAGUGUUUGGGAACGUGAUUCAACAAAUCGUUUGAUUAAAAGAGAGUCGAAAAUUGAUAGUAGUCAAGCUAGUUCUUUAGAAGUGAUGGAUGACCCAAAUAGACUAUUGCUAAUACUUCCACCAGUGCAAGCAGAGAAAACCCUUAGAGAAUAUUUUUCACCACUUGCAGCCAACCAACCAUCUUGUAUUUUGUUGCCACAAACCACAGCAACACACUUUGAACUAAAGCCCUCUAUCAUUCAACUUUUACCAUCUUUCCAUGGGUUAGAGAGAGAGGAUCCAUAUUUGCACAUUAAGGAAUUUCUUGACAUAUGCUCUACAUUUCGUUUUCAAAAUUUUAAUGAUGAGUCAAUCAGGCUUCGUAUGUUCCCUUUCUCAUUAAAAGACAAGGCGAAAGCUUGGUUGAAUUCACUUCCUGCUGGGUCUAUUACUACGUGGGAUGAAUUGAGUAAUAAGUUCCUCACCAAGUUUUUCCCUAUGUCUAAAACAAAUGCCCUUAGGAGAGAGAUAAGUGAUUUUUAUCAAAGAGAGGGUGAGCAAUUUUAUGAGUGUUGGGAAAGAUUCAAUGAUUUACUCCUCAAGUGUCCCCACCAUGGUUUUGAAAAAUGGAGACUUAUACAAUGCUUUUAUAACGGUUUAACCAUGUCAAAUCGUCAUAUGGUAGAGUCUAUGAAUGGUGGGAGAUUUUUGAACUUACAUGAAGGGGCCGCAUGGGAUUUCUUUAAUUCACUUUCUGAAAAUUCUCAACAGUGGGAUUUUUCAAAUCAAAGGGAAAAAUCAUCUCAAGUUUCUAGAAAGGGGUUAUACGAAGUUAAGGAUGACUUUGAUGUGAAAGCCACUCUAACUACACUUUCUAGGAAAGUAGAUGCCUUAGCUCUGAACCAAUCAAUGAAUCAUCAUCCUAGUGUAGCUAAUGAGGUUUGUGCUCUUUGUUCUAACUUGUCUCAUACAGCACAGAAUUGUCCAUCAUUACCAGUCUAUCCAGAGGCUUAUUCUGAGCAGGUACAUGCCUUACAAUCAUAUGAAAUAACCUCCAAUAGUCCAUAUUCAUCCACAUAUAAUCCUAAUUGGAGGAAUCACCCUAAUUUUUCUUGGAAACAAAACCAACCUUUGUCAAACCAAGGAGGGCAACAAUUUAACAUGCCCAAUCAACAAUUUGUCCCUCCUAACCAAGUAUAUCCUCCUGCCCAACAACCUAUGUCUCAAUUUGUUGCACCCCAACAAAGAAAGCCUUCGUUAGAGGAUACACUUCAAAGUUUCAUUCAGUCAACCCAACAAGCCUUUCAGUCAAACACUCAAGCUAUUCUAAAGCUUGAACAUCAAUUGGGUCAAUUAGCAACUACUGUAGCAGAAAGAGAAAAAGGAAAAUUUCCAAGUCAACUAAUUCCUAAUCCCAAAGGAGUGAAUGAAGUUGGAUCGAGUUCAAGCCAUCAACAUGAAGAAGCAAAAUCUGUUAUGACCUUGAGAAGAGGAAAAUUAUUUGACAACAAGGUGGAGGUUCAAACAAGAAAGACAUCUGAGCAUACUUCUUCAGAUCUAGUUCCAUCACAAGACUCAUCACCAAAUGAUCUAGAAGAGAGUGGCCCGCCAGCUUACAUUCCCAAGGCUCCUUUUCCUCAAAGGUUAACAAAGGUAAAGAAAGAGACUUCAACAGGUGAGAUUAUGGAAAUCUUCAAGCAGGUAAGUAUAAACAUCCCUUUACUCGAUGCUAUUAAGCAAGUUCCUUCCUAUGCCAAGUUUUUGAAAGAUUUAUGCACUAAAAAAAGAAAUUUGCAUGUCACUAAAAAGGCGUUUUUAACUGAACAAAUUAGCAAUUUACUUCAAUGUAAAAUGCCACCAAAAUUUAAGGAUCCUGGUUCUCCUACUAUCUCAUGUGUUAUAGGGAACCAAUGUUUUGAUAAAGCAUUAUUGGAUUUGGGUGCUAGUGUUAAUCUCUUGCCUUAUUCUGUUUACAUGCAGCUUGGACUUGGUGAGUUAAAGCCAACUUCUAUUAUUUUGCAACUUGCUGAUAGGUCAAUGAAAAUACCUCGUGGUAUUAUAGAGGAUGUGUUGAUACAGAUCGACAAAUUUUAUUAUCCUGUUGAUUUUAUUGUUAUUGAUACUCAGCAUGUACAUGAUCCUAAGAAACACACCCCAGUUAUUCUAGGUCGUCCUUUCUUAGCUACAGCUGAUGCUCAUAUUAGUUGCAGGACUGGAAACAUGCAAUUGUCUUUUGGUAACAUGACCAUGGAAUUAAAUAUUUUUAAUGUUCCCAAGCAGGCACAAGAAGAUGAUGAAGUCGUUGAAGUAGAUAUGAUAGAAGCAUCAAUNNNNNNNNNNNNNNNNNNNNNNNNNNNNNNNNNNNNNNNNNNNNNNNNNNNNNNNNNNNNNNNNNNNNNNNNNNNNNNNNNNNNNNNNNNNNNNNNNNNNNNNNNNNNNNNNNNNNNNNNNNNNNNNNNNNNNNNNNNNNNNNNNNNNNNNNNNNNNNNNNNNNNNNNNNNNNNNNNNNNNNNNNNNNNNNNNNNNNNNNNNNNNNNNNNNNNNNNNNNNNNNNNNNNNNNNNNNNNNNNNNNNNNNNNNNNNNNNNNNNNNNNNNNNNNNNNNNNNNNNNNNNNNNNNNNNNNNNNNNNNNNNNNNNNNNNNNNNNNNNNNNNNNNNNNNNNNNNNNNNNNNNNNNNNNNNNNNNNNNNNNNNNNNNNNNNNNNNNNNNNNNNNNNNNNNNNNNNNNNNNNNNNNNNNNNNNNNNNNNNNNNNNNNNNNNNNNNNNNNNNNNNNNNNNNNNNNNNNNNNNNNNNNNNNNNNNNNNNNNNNNNNNNNNNNNNNNNNNNNNNNNNNNNNNNNNNNNNNNNNNNNNNNNNNNNNNNNNNNNNNNNNNNNNNNNNNNNNNNNNNNNNNNNNNNNNNNNNNNNNNNNNNNNNNNNNNNNNNNNNNNNNNNNNNNNNNNNNNNNNNNNNNNNNNNNNNNNNNNNNNNNNNNNNNNNNNNNNNNNAUGGGAUUUCUUUAAUUCACUUUCUGAAAAUUCUCAACAGUGGGAUUUUUCAAAUCAAAGGGAAAAAUCAUCUCAAGUUUCUAGAAAGGGGUUAUACGAAGUUAAGGAUGACUUUGAUGUGAAAGCCACUCUAACUACACUUUCUAGGAAAGUAGAUGCCUUAGCUCUGAACCAAUCAAUGAAUCAUCAUCCUAGUGUAGCUAAUGAGGUUUGUGCUCUUUGUUCUAACUUGUCUCAUACAGCACAGAAUUGUCCAUCAUUACCAGUCUAUCCAGAGGCUUAUUCUGAGCAGGUACAUGCCUUACAAUCAUAUGAAAUAACCUCCAAUAGUCCAUAUUCAUCCACAUAUAAUCCUAAUUGGAGGAAUCACCCUAAUUUUUCUUGGAAACAAAACCAACCUUUGUCAAACCAAGGAGGGCAACAAUUUAACAUGCCCAAUCAACAAUUUGUCCCUCCUAACCAAGUAUAUCCUCCUGCCCAACAACCUAUGUCUCAAUUUGUUGCACCCCAACAAAGAAAGCCUUCGUUAGAGGAUACACUUCAAAGUUUCAUUCAGUCAACCCAACAAGCCUUUCAGUCAAACACUCAAGCUAUUCUAAAGCUUGAACAUCCUGGUAUUAUCUGUAUAAUUGCUUUGAUUUUCACCAAAUUCUUAUUGAUCCUGGUUGAUUUGUUGUUUACAUUAAUUAGUUAGUUAGUAGGAUUUUUUGUUAAACAUUGUGUUUGUUGCACUUGCAUUACAAAAAUCUAUUAGACAAAUCAAAACCACUUGACCACUUGUCUCUCAUGGUUACAUUGUCAUCUAUGAGUAUUCCAAACUUUUAUUCCCGAGCUAGAUUAUAUUCACACUGGCAGAUUGUAAUGAAUAAAGGGUUAGAAACAUUAAGAAGAAAUAAUACAUAGGAUAUUGUACAUUGUCCAGCUUGUUGUAAACCAAUCAGGUGUAAAUGAGUGUACUUUAUCAAAUAGAAAGUUUACGGUUCUUUGGAUCAUUAUUGUUUAGCCACUCUUGGGAAUUGGCAAGAAUAUGGUAUAAACUAUCAUGAGACAUUUGCUCGAGUGGCUAAAAUGACAAUAGUUUGCACUUUGUUAGGAAUUGCAGGUUCACAAGCAUGGCCUCUUUUUCAAAUCAAUAUAAAAGCUCAAUUCUUGCAAGGAGAUCUAUAAAAAGAAGUCUACAUGAAGCUUUUGCCUGGUGUACUGCUGUACGGCCAAGGCGGAUGUACGGUACAGCAGUGCAAUCGCGAUUACCUGUGAAAGUGGUUUAGUUAGGAUUUACCUUUUUUUUCAUUGUUUUUAUUUUUUUUUUUAUUUUUUUUUAUUUUUAGUUUUAGUUUUGCUCGAGGACUAGCAAAAUCUAAGUUUGGGGGUAUUUGAUGAGCAUAAUUUAUAUACAUAUUUUACCCUUUAUUAUAUAAUUGCUAGUUAAUUUUAUUUAUUAUUUUUAAUUAAUUGAAUUAUUUUAUUAAAUAGGGAGUUAAUUGGAGAUUAUGGAUGAAAAGUACAUAAAGAAUAAUAAAUGGACAGCAUUAAAGAUCAAAUCAAUUUGUGAAAGUAAUUAAGGAGAUGUGCAAGAAAUUCUGUUCGAAGAAAACAAAGCCAAUAAAUUGAAUUCUCCAUGCUCGUGCAAACAAAGAAGAAGGUUAAAGCUAAAGUGGGCAGCACAUAAAACAAAUCUUUUAAUUAAGCCUUUGAAUGGAAAGUCAAAGUAGAAUAAAGGAAGGAAAUCAAUAGCUUUUGGCUUUUAUNNNNNNNNNNNNNNNNNNNNNNNNNNNNNNNNNNNNNNNNNNNNNNNNNNNNNNNNNNNNNNNNNNNNNNNNNNNNNNNNNNNNNNNNNNNNNNNNNNNNNNNNNNNNNNNNNNNNNNNNNNNNNNNNNNNNNNNNNNNNNNNNNNNNNNNNNNNNNNNNNNNNNNNNNNNNNNNNAAACCACAGCAACACACUUUGAACUCAAGCCCUCUGUCAUUCAACUUUUACCAUCUUUCCAUGGGUUAGAGAGAGAGGAUCCAUAUUUGCAUAUUAAGGAAUUUCUUGACAUAUGCUCUACAUUUCGUUUUCAAAAUUUUAAUGAUGAGUCAAUUAGGCUUCGUAUGUUCCCUUUCUCAUUAAAAGACAAAGCGAAAGCUUGGUUGAAUUCACUUCCUGCUGGGUCUAUUACUACAUGGCAUGAAUUGAGUAAUAAAUUCCUCACCAAGUUUUUCCCUAUGUCUAAAACAAAUGCCCUUAGGAGAGAGAUAAGUGAUUUUUAUCAAAGAGAGGGAGAGCAAUUUUAUGAGUGUUGGGAAAGAUUUAAUGAUUUACUCCUUAAGUGCCCCCACCAUGGUUUUGAGAAAUGGAAACUUAUACAAUGCUUUUAUAACGGUUUAACCAUGUCAAAUCGUCAUAUGGUAGAGUCUAUGAAUGGUGGGAGAUUUUUGAACCUACAUGAAGGGGCUGCAUAGGAUUUCUUUAAUUCACUUUCUGAAAAUUCUCAACCUGCUGUACGGCCAAGGCGGAUGUACGGUACAGCAGAGGAGAUGUGCAAGAAAUUCUGUUCGAAGAAAACAAAGCCAAUAAAUUGAAUUCUCCAUGCUCGUGCAAACAAAGAAGAAGGUUAAAGCUAAAGUGGGCAGCACAUAAAACAAAUCUUUUAAUUAAGCCUUUGAAUGGAAAGUCAAAGUAGAAUAAAGGAAGGAAAUCAAUAGCUUUUGGCUUUUAUGUUUUCAAUUACGUGGCAAGCUUUGGGCUUUAGCUUGUAAAAGUUGGUUUAGUUAUUAGAAUCACAAUAGGAUUCGGUGGCCAAGCAAUAUAAAAGGGGAGCUGCAGACGCAAGGCAGAGGAGGGGAGAAAAGGACGAGAGCAGCAGUUCGGCUUCAUGGCUGAUUUUUAUUUUUUUUGUUGCUCCCAAUUCAAGUAUGUCUAGCUAAUUUUCUUUUACUAAGGUUAAGGAUGAAAUCCUAUUUAAUAAAAUAAUUAUCUUUUUAUUUAUUUAAUUCCCUAUAUAUGUUCUUUAAUAAUUAUGGUUUUUAUUUCACAUGAUUAAUUGGAUGUUAUUAAAAUCUUUUCAUCAAUUCUGUCAUGCAUUAUUGAUUGUUAGGAUUAAUAUUCGAUUAAAUCUAUGCUUGGAUCUUUAAAGUUUAUACAUGAUUAUCUUUGAUUUUAUGUCUUUCAUUAAAUUGUUUACAUAGAGUGCUUAGGAAACUUUGACUCUUUGUUAUUCAAUGGAUUAAUUAAUAAUUAGAUAAUUACUAGUUGAAUAGUGGUGGAUUCUGAAACCUUGGUAAUUCUUAUCUUAUUGAAUUCUCCUUUAUUUUAAUUGCUUCCUUAGUUUAAUUGGUUUAAUUUUCUUAAAAACUCAAUUUGCUCAACUAGGUUAGAAUUAAUAUUAAUUUUAGAUUUAAAUUAGACUUUUUAAUUUAUAACAAUCCUUGUGGGAUCGACCUCGUUACCACUAUUCUAUUUCUAGAUUUGUGUGCUUGCGAGUAUAUUAAAAUUUUCACAACAGAGAUCAAACCACAAAAACUGAUAUAAAUUGAAAAGUUUAAUUUAAAUUUAAAUAAUAUUAAUUGUAAACUAGUUGAACAAAUUUAAUUUUAAAGAAAAUUAAACUAAUAAAACUAAUAAAACAAUUAAAACAAAAGAGAUUUUAAUAAAAUAAAGGCUAUCAAUGUUUCAUAAUCUAACAUUAUUCGACUCUUAAUUAUCUAAUUAUUAUUAAUUUCUAGUUUUGGAGUAACAACUCGUAUCAAUCUAUAAUCGAACCAAUCUAUCUCAUCUCAUUAAGCCUAAGUAAUUAAAUCUAAUGUACGUUCUUUUUUGUUUCAAAGUAUAAUUUUUAAGCAUUAUAUAUAUAUAUAUAUAUAUAUAUAUAUCAUAUUGAAAAACGAAAAAUCAAAAUUUCCUAAACAUUUUGUGUAUCUAAUUUAUUGAAAAAUAAAUAAUCAAAGAGAAUCACAUUAGUGAUUAUUUUACCAAACUUAUAUUCAAUCAAAUAAUCUCUUAACUAUCAAGAAUACAUAAUAUUAAAAAUGAAAAGAUAAUUCUCCAAUCAAUCACGUGAAGCAACAACCAUAAUCAUUAAAGAACAUAUAUAGCGAAUGAAUUAUAUAUAAAAAAAAAUUAUUUCAUUGAACAAAGUUUCAUUUUUAAUUUUAGUUUAAAAAAAUUAAUAAGACAUUCUUGAAUUGAGAGUAAUAAAAUUGAUAUAACGAGCCAUGGAAACAAGCUUUGAAGAACUGCUGCUGCAGUGCUCCUCUUCCUCCCUGCCUUACAUAAUCCCCACGACCAUCCAUUAUCGGCGGAAUCCAAUCCUUAUAAUGCCCAUGACCAUCCGCUAUUUGCCGAAUCUAACCAAUUUUGAAAACAAUCUUUCUAAUUGACGCCACAAUCCUCUGCCCGUGUUUUCUGAUCGCAGAAUUGAAAUUCCUUCCAAAUGCAAACAAUCUUUCUAAGCCGUGUUUUCCACGGCUUCUAUUAAUUCUUUAAACGCUUCACCAAAUUAUUAUUUUUCAUGUGCUUUUCAUCCAUUAUCUCUAAUUAAUUUCUCGUUCAAUAUAAUAAUUUAAUUAAUUUAAAUUAAUAAUUAAAAUUAACUAAUAAAUAUAUAAUUAAGGGUGAAAUAAGUAUAUAUUAUAUGCUUGUAUAUAAAUUCCACAUAACUUAAACGAUGAUUUAUGCCCUUAUAAUAUUUUAAAAAUGAAUUGACGAAUUUUACUUAUCUUUUGAACUAAUUUAAAAUUGCAAUUGACUUAACUUAAAUUUUAUUUUCUUAAUUUUUAUCAUUUCUUAUGGGUUCGAUCUUUUCAUCACUAAUUAAUAAUUUAAUAAACUCAUGCACGUGCGAGCUCGACGCAAACAUAAAUACGGACUUGAAGAGUUUAAGGGUGCGUUUGGGAUUGAGGUGCUGUAGCUUUUAAGCUACAGCUGCUGUGAAAAAAAAGCUGUAAUUAUGAAAUAAAAGUUAAUAAUAUAUAGUAAAUAUAAAUUUUAAAUAAUAAUUUUGAUAAAAUUAUUAAAGAUAUAAUAGAUUUUGUAUUAUACAAGUGAAAAAUCAUAUCAAUAUAACUUAAAAGCUACAGUAGUUAGUGUUUACCAAACACUUUAGUGCUGUAGCUUUUAAGCUACAGCUGUCCAACCUCAAUCCCAAACGCACCCUAAGCAAGGCUGUUCGAUGUGACUUGUUCUGGGUACCUGUAGAAAAUACAAGGACAGCACAUGCGCAGCAAACAAAGACGACUAAUAUUGGGGUUUGGCCUUGUCAAAAUAAAUUUGAGGUUAAAUGAUAGAGAUAUAUAUGGGGUCCGGCUGAGUUGGAACCCAUAUAUAUCUUGCUGCUUGUUUGACUAAUGCAUUUUAUUUACAUUAUGGUUAUUAAUUUAUUGUUUUAAAUAUUGAUAAAUAUAAUAAAAGGUUUGUCAACAAAACAAGUUUUUACAAUCUUUUAAACUUCAGUCAGAAUAUAUAUAUUCUCACUCAAGUCUAAAAGAUUGUAGCUUCUCAAAAAAAAAAAAAAAUUGUAGAAACUUGUUUUCUUGACAAAACUUUUAAUAUAUUUAUUAAUAUUUAAAAUAAUAAAAUAAUAGCUGCAAUGUGAAUAAAAUGCAUUAGUCAAACAAGUAGCAAGAAAAAAAUAAUGUUAGAAGACUUGUAUAAGGACAGCACCAACUUGCCCCGCAAGGCCGCAACAAUUAACAACAAAGUUUACUUUUCAAUACACUUUGAAAUUUUGGAUUAAACAAUUAUUUUCUUUCAAUUUGUGGUGGCAAGAUCCUGGUCAAUUCUCGUAAAUUUUUUUAGUUUUUUUUAUAAUAUAUUAAUUAUGACAUAUUUAAUUAAUUUUAUUUAGAACGUGGAAGUCAAAAUUUUUGCAGUCAAAAAAUGUUGAAAACUAGAUGGCUACGUACCUCGCGGAAAAUUAUUAAUUAACCAAAAUGUUGUCUUUCCAAUAUACUUCCAAAUUGUGAUGGCGACGUACAUAUUGGGAUACUAAUAUUAGUCAAGUGAUAAUGUGAUAUGUCCAUCCAGAGAGAAGAAUACAUGUGCAGCCAUCCCAGUCCCACUACUUCAAAUAAUAAAUGGCGUUAUGUUAUGCAGCUAGCAGAGCAGUAAGUUUGAAAACGGAACACAACUUUUAAUUUAAAAUAUUAAAUUAAAUUAUAAUAUUGUCAAGAUGUUCAACUGUUCAUAUAUAUGUCUUUUUUAUUUUAUUUUAUUUUCAGGAAAAAAAGAUCUCAAGCAGAAGUUGAAGCCAAAUCAAUUGCUGUAUCUAGUAGCAGCAUCUCCUAAAUUUUUCUAACUUCUUCUGUGAAUUGGACAAUUUUUUUUUUUUCAAUUGCCGUUGCAGGCAAGGAAAUGAGUGUAAAAAUCUAUAUGUUUUAACAUAUUAUUUAGCAAACAAAAAUUAAUAACUAAAAUUAUAUUAAAGAAUUUAUUUACAACUUGACCUGAUUCCACUUGUUGUAAAUAUAUACAAAAUUUUUAAUAUUUAAUUUUGUUGUUGAUAAUAGUUUUCUUCUUGUUUUCAGUAAAUUAAUUUAAAUGGUUUACUUUAGGAUAUUUUUGACAUGUUAAUGAGUACAAAGUAAAAUUUAAAUUUUUAUAUUUAAUUGAUGAGUGUACAUGGUAAUAGAGUAUUCAAAGUAAUUUUUAGAGUGCAAAUUUACCACUCAUUUAUAAAUUACCCUGGGUUCAUUACGAGUCUUGGAUCUGCCCUUGGUUUAUCAAGCAUAUAUUUACUACGAAUUAAAAAAAUGAUUGAACUUGCAAUAAAAAUUAUCUAGAUCAAAAUACAAAGAUAAAUUUAACUACUUACUCCACAACUAUGAUCAACAAUUCACUUCUACCUCAAUCUUUUUUUAAGAACAAUUCUCUACUUUUAACUAAUAUCACAGUUCUUAAAACACCUAAUUUUAUUCUUUCUGGCGAUUAUAUAUAUAUAUUUUUUACUAACUACUAUAACUACUUCCUCCAUAACUAUUUAGUUUUUUAGAGGUCUAUACUUAGUUUUUAAUUUAAAUAGUAACUCCGUAUUACAAUUUAAAUUUUCUGCUUUGUUUGUUCAAUAAUAAUUCCCGCUAGCACCAACAUGUUUUCUUGAUGCAUGAAAACAAUGUUACUUGUAUUGCACAAAUUAGAAAAAGAUACAUGAAGAGAGAUAUAAGCACAUUUUACUAAAACUCUUUUACACCCAUUGGCUCUAAUAAAGUAAAAAGUGAAUGUCAAAUAGAUACGUUCUACUAAUAAUUAUGCAGAUAUAUAUAUUUAAAAAAUUUUCCCAGCAUCACACUUUUUGAGAGGCUAGUACAUAGGAUUAGCAUGACUUAAUAGAUUAUAAAGUUAUGAAAUUGAUUGAUGAUAUGAAUAAGAAGAGGAAAGAGGAAGACUGUUAUAAAGCUUGGACAGAUUGGAUGGAUGGUUGUUGACUUGUUUCAUAAAAGUUAAUAAUAUAUAGUAAAUAUAAAUUUUAAAUAAUAAUUUUGAUAAAAUUAUUAAAGAUAUAAUAGAUUUUGUAUUAUACAAGUGAAAAAUCAUAUCAAUAUAACUUAAAAGCUACAGUAGUUAGUGUUUACCAAACACUUUAGUGCUGUAGCUUUUAAGCUACAGCUGUCCAACCUCAAUCCCAAACGCACCCUAAGCAAGGCUGUUCGAUGUGACUUGUUCUGGGUACCUGUAGAAAAUACAAGGACAGCACAUGCGCAGCAAACAAAGACGACUAAUAUUGGGGUUUGGCCUUGUCAAAAUAAAUUUGAGGUUAAAUGAUAGAGAUAUAUAUGGGGUCCGGCUGAGUUGGAACCCAUAUAUAUCUUGCUGCUUGUUUGACUAAUGCAUUUUAUUUACAUUAUGGUUAUUAAUUUAUUGUUUUAAAUAUUGAUAAAUAUAAUAAAAGGUUUGUCAACAAAACAAGUUUUUACAAUCUUUUAAACUUCAGUCAGAAUAUAUAUAUUCUCACUCAAGUCUAAAAGAUUGUAGCUUCUCAAAAAAAAAAAAAAAUUGUAGAAACUUGUUUUCUUGACAAAACUUUUAAUAUAUUUAUUAAUAUUUAAAAUAAUAAAAUAAUAGCUGCAAUGUGAAUAAAAUGCAUUAGUCAAACAAGUAGCAAGAAAAAAAUAAUGUUAGAAGACUUGUAUAAGGACAGCACCAACUUGCCCCGCAAGGCCGCAACAAUUAACAACAAAGUUUACUUUUCAAUACACUUUGAAAUUUUGGAUUAAACAAUUAUUUUCUUUCAAUUUGUGGUGGCAAGAUCCUGGUCAAUUCUCGUAAAUUUUUUUAGUUUUUUUUAUAAUAUAUUAAUUAUGACAUAUUUAAUUAAUUUUAUUUAGAACGUGGAAGUCAAAAUUUUUGCAGUCAAAAAAUGUUGAAAACUAGAUGGCUACGUACCUCGCGGAAAAUUAUUAAUUAACCAAAAUGUUGUCUUUCCAAUAUACUUCCAAAUUGUGAUGGCGACGUACAUAUUGGGAUACUAAUAUUAGUCAAGUGAUAAUGUGAUAUGUCCAUCCAGAGAGAAGAAUACAUGUGCAGCCAUCCCAGUCCCACUACUUCAAAUAAUAAAUGGCGUUAUGUUAUGCAGCUAGCAGAGCAGUAAGUUUGAAAACGGAACACAACUUUUAAUUUAAAAUAUUAAAUUAAAUUAUAAUAUUGUCAAGAUGUUCAACUGUUCAUAUAUAUGUCUUUUUUAUUUUAUUUUAUUUUCAGGAAAAAAAGAUCUCAAGCAGAAGUUGAAGCCAAAUCAAUUGCUGUAUCUAGUAGCAGCAUCUCCUAAAUUUUUCUAACUUCUUCUGUGAAUUGGACAAUUUUUUUUUUUUCAAUUGCCGUUGCAGGCAAGGAAAUGAGUGUAAAAAUCUAUAUGUUUUAACAUAUUAUUUAGCAAACAAAAAUUAAUAACUAAAAUUAUAUUAAAGAAUUUAUUUACAACUUGACCUGAUUCCACUUGUUGUAAAUAUAUACAAAAUUUUUAAUAUUUAAUUUUGUUGUUGAUAAUAGUUUUCUUCUUGUUUUCAGUAAAUUAAUUUAAAUGGUUUACUUUAGGAUAUUUUUGACAUGUUAAUGAGUACAAAGUAAAAUUUAAAUUUUUAUAUUUAAUUGAUGAGUGUACAUGGUAAUAGAGUAUUCAAAGUAAUUUUUAGAGUGCAAAUUUACCACUCAUUUAUAAAUUACCCUGGGUUCAUUACGAGUCUUGGAUCUGCCCUUGGUUUAUCAAGCAUAUAUUUACUACGAAUUAAAAAAAUGAUUGAACUUGCAAUAAAAAUUAUCUAGAUCAAAAUACAAAGAUAAAUUUAACUACUUACUCCACAACUAUGAUCAACAAUUCACUUCUACCUCAAUCUUUUUUUAAGAACAAUUCUCUACUUUUAACUAAUAUCACAGUUCUUAAAACACCUAAUUUUAUUCUUUCUGGCGAUUAUAUAUAUAUAUUUUUUACUAACUACUAUAACUACUUCCUCCAUAACUAUUUAGUUUUUUAGAGGUCUAUACUUAGUUUUUAAUUUAAAUAGUAACUCCGUAUUACAAUUUAAAUUUUCUGCUUUGUUUGUUCAAUAAUAAUUCCCGCUAGCACCAACAUGUUUUCUUGAUGCAUGAAAACAAUGUUACUUGUAUUGCACAAAUUAGAAAAAGAUACAUGAAGAGAGAUAUAAGCACAUUUUACUAAAACUCUUUUACACCCAUUGGCUCUAAUAAAGUAAAAAGUGAAUGUCAAAUAGAUACGUUCUACUAAUAAUUAUGCAGAUAUAUAUAUUUAAAAAAUUUUCCCAGCAUCACACUUUUUGAGAGGCUAGUACAUAGGAUUAGCAUGACUUAAUAGAUUAUAAAGUUAUGAAAUUGAUUGAUGAUAUGAAUAAGAAGAGGAAAGAGGAAGACUGUUAUAAAGCUUGGACAGAUUGGAUGGAUGGUUGUUGACUUGUUUCAUGUUUGUGACGUAUAAAAAAAGGCAGAAGCUAAGUUACGUAACUUACACCCUCUCACACCUAACACUGUUGCUGUGAGAGGCGCAAGUUACGUAACUUAGAUCCUCCCAUAAAAGAAAGGUGGGGUGGGGUGAGUCCAUGAUUUGAUAAAAAAUAGAAUUAAUGUUUUUUUAUUUAAUUUAUUCAAAACAUGCAUUAGUUACACGUAAUCCUCACCCUUGAUUAAUGGUUGAGCUAAAUAGAUCAGGAAUUAGCAUAAGAAAUCGUGUAACUUGAAGGAGACAUCAUUUUAUUUAUUUACACACACUGACAUGACCCGCCCUAACCUAUAUGUUGGGUCCAAGCUAAUAUCAUGCGGUCUAGUAAUUAAAAUUCAUGGCACAAACUUAAUUCAUGAAUAUAUAUUUAUAAAAUAUACCCGUUACUAUAAACACAUAAUAAUACUAUGUGCCUUCUAUGAAAAUAUAUAUGUAUUCAAAACUUGCACCUCUCAUUAUUCAUACUUACAUUACAAGUAUAUAUAUAUAAAAAAACAUAAACAACAUAAACGUGCUCAAAAUGCAAGACAUGCAGCAAUGCCUUCGUGGCCCAAACUCAAUUGAAUAGAAUUGAUCUACACGAAAUCUUGCAGAAUCCUGGGAAAAAAGGGAUAAAUAGGAAAAUAAUGAGGUUGCAACUCAGUGAGUAGAUAUAAUUUAUAUAUAUAUAAAAUAAAGUAGUGUGGGAAACCACGUUAUAUACAUACACGACAAAACUGCAAAAGUACAGUGUGAGAAAACCUCUCAAUACCUGGUGAAAUUUAAUUACGUUGCACGAGUAGAGUAACCUAACUCUCAAUACGCAUGCACAGAGUCUACGGGGGAGGGUACAUAUGGUGACUAACAAUCACAUCUCAUGACUCAAUCAUACAUAUAAUAUGCGUACAUAUAAUCAUAACAUGAUAUUAAAACAUAAUUUCAAACAUAAAUAUUUCACGGAAUACAUAAUAGUAUUAGUAAUAUCCACUCACAGAUCAUGUUUGACUCCAGGAUUCGUUAGGGCUCCUAUGGGUUCCUGAAUCCUCGAGUUCCUCUCACUAAUUCAUUGGAUAUUAAUCUAAUUGUUCAAUUUCAUUUCCUGCUGUGACAUUCCCUCUCAAUUCAUCUUUUAAACUUCUUUUCCCACUCUUGGCUUCUUCCUUUAUUUUAUUUAUUUUCUUCUUUUUCUUUUCUUUCCUCUUCUCUUUUUCUCUCGGUUUUCUUCUUUGUCUUGUCUGUCUCACUUCGAAAAAUGAUACAAAAAGAGAACUGCUUUCAAUUCCUUCAAAUUAUAUAUGGCCACCGACUCAAGCACACAAGUGAGGCAUACAGGUGAAGCAAGGAUGUGCCUUGCAUGAAGCUGGUAGCUUCUUGUUGCUUUGAUAAGUAGCCACGUUUGGCUUAUAAAGAAGCGGUGAAGCAUGCACGUGCAUGUCACACACACACACACUCUUCCCUUAAUAGUAGAACUAGAGUGGUUAGUUAAUAGAACUACUUAAAUUAGAACCCUUGAGGUAAAAUUUUAAUGGGACAUUGGUCCUUCCCCUAUUUAUAAGUAACAAAUGUGUUUUUUUUUUUAAAUAGUUUUCUUUUGUAUUGUUCUAACGUGGUUGGUAGCGUAUUCAUAUUUAGCUGGUGUUUUUUUUCUUCUUCUUAAAUCUAAAUAGAUAUGAAUUAGACUAAAAUUCUAAAUAAAGUUAAAUGUAUGAAUCUAACUGACAUUUUUAUUUUUAUUUUGAGUUACUAAAAAUAUGUACUAAGUCAUUUGUUUAACUUAAAAAAAAAUCAACAUUUUUACAUUUGUACCCUUAUAAAUUGAUGCUAAACAAAUAAUAAGCAUCUCAAAUAAUAUAAAUAAGAUAAUAUAUGAUCAUAACAUAAAUUAUGUUCAGUUGAAUAUGAAUCUUUUAUAUUUUAGAUUAGUAUAUGUCAAUCAAUUUUAUUGUAGUUUAUGAUUUUUUAUUUGAAAAAUAUUCAUAAAAAAUAUAAAGAUAAAUAAUGCUCGUUUGAAGAAAAGAAAAAAAAGUAAUAGUCUAUUGUUAUAUUAUCAUAAGUUAUAGAGAUGGGUAAUAAUGUUAAUUAGCAAAUUUUAUUUAGGUAAGGAUGAAAAUUAAUUAAUCAGAUGGGGAUAUUUUGAGAAUAUAUACUAAUGAUGUCAUUCACACUUUUUACAUUAAGCAAAAAUACUAAAAAAUAGCUUAAUAACCAUGACUAAAGUUAGAAAGUGAAAAGGACUUAUUUAAUUAAGUCAAUUAAAUCAUAAAGUCAGAAAAAAAAACCAUUAGCCAUUUACCUUUUUAUUCUUAAAUGUACUCUCCAUCAUUUGUGUAUAUAUAUUGGUUGAUACCUUUGGCUCCCUUCAUCAGUUCUGUAAAAAAAAAAAAAAAAAAAUGAAUCCUCACGGCUUGUUCUGCCCAAAUAUUCUCUCAUUUAUUUUUGUAAUUUUGUUAUCGUUUCAUGGGGAGGCUUUGGCAGCUGAAAAUCAUGAAAAUUUUCUCAAGUGUCUUUCUCUACAAUCUAACACCAUUUCGAAAGUGAUUUACACCCAAAACAACUCUUCAUAUUCAUCAGUAUUAAAGGCUUCAAUAAAAAAUCUCAUUUUCUCAACCCCCACAAACCCGAAACCUGUAUUCGUCAUCACCCCAUUUCAUGUGUCCGAAAUUCAAGCAGCCGUUAAAUGCUCCAAAAAAAAUGGUCUGCAAAUUAGAGUGCGAAGUGGAGGUCAUGAUCAUGAGGGUCUUUCCUCUAUUUCUGACGUUCCUUUCAUCAUCAUUGAUUUGAUAAAUUUCAUUGAGAUCAGUGUUGAUGUAGAAGAAAAAACAGCAUGGGUUGAAUCUGGUGCUACCAUCGGGCAACUUAAUUAUAGAAUUGCUGAGAAGAGCCAGAAUCUGCUAACCUUUCCGGUAGGAACUUGCCCUGGUGUGGGCGUUGGUGGACAUUUUAGUGGGGGCGGCUACGGUGUCCUGUUGCGUAAGUACGGGAUGGCUGCUGACCACAUAGUUGAUGCUCACAUGGUUGACGUCAAAGGUGAGAAAUUUUAAAGAACAAAUACAGAGAAAAUAGCUUCUCAAAAAAAAAUAAAAAAUAAAAGUUACAGAGAAAAUAGCAAUAAUAAGAUUCAGAGUAGGUUUAAUAGGUGAGUUUAUACAGGUGACAGAAUUUGAAGGUUUUUAUUACCAUUUCUCAAACUAUGGAGAGUGGCGACUUGCUAUAAUCAGUAUAAUUUGAGAAUGAAUGACAAACAAAAAUUAAUCAAUCAAUUAUUUUUCUAUCCAGAAUUUAGGAAAAAAAAUAUUAGGAGUGGAUAAAACUCAGAUCAAUUUUUCUAUAAUAUACCUCGGCCAAGUCUCUGGGGCUCAUUCAAACGGGGGCGGAUUUACUAUAGGACACUGGAAAAAAAAAUCUUUAAUAAUUUAUUUAGUUUUCCUAAAAUUCUCAAUAAAUUUUUUUGAAGCACCCACUAAUUUAUAGUCAAGCCUGCAAUAUAUGUUACACUUAAAUUCUCAUACGCCAAAUUUUUAAAUUUAAAUAAAAAAUAUGGGCUUUGCAAACUAAAAUCAAACCCAUAAAUAUUAAUAUUAAUUUAAUUUUUAGACGGGCCACAAACUCAUUAAUAAUUUUUUUAUUAAUCUUACUUUUUUCAAUUCCACCACUAAUCCAGGGCCCAUAAAAAAUUCCUAACAUCUUUUUAUUUUUGUUGUUUACAUAGAAAAAGACUUAUUUAAUAACAUUGAUAACAAAGUUGUAAUACAAUGUAUCAAUAUAUGAAUACUAGUAAAAGACAAUUGUAAAUAUAUAUUGUAGUAUUAUAAAUCUUUUAAAUUUAUAUCUUUAUUACUUUUUAAAUUUUUUUAUAUUAUCUUUGAAUAAGCCCUCAGUGAAUCACUAUGCUGUCUGCGCCCCUAUGCUGUCUGCGCCCCUGUUCAAUUAUAUGUCGAUUUGUCUGCAUUUUCCAUCUUUGUUUCGCUUCUUUUCAGGUAGAUUUCUAAAUAGAGAAUCAAUGGGAGAAGAUCUAUUUUGGGCCAUUCGCGGAGGCGGAGGAGCUAGCUUUGGAAUCAUUGUUUCGUGGAAAAUAAAUCUAGUUGCUGUUCCACCAACUGUGACGGUAUUCAACGUCCCGAGAACCUUAGAACAAAAUGCAACAAAACUACUUUUCAAAUGGCAGUGCAUUGCAGACAAGGUUCAUGAAGAUUUAUUCAUCUCACCCUUCUUAUUACGAGUGAAUUCCACUAUGGUCUCCGUAUUCUCGGCCUUGUUUCUUGGUGGGGUUGAUAGGCUGCUUCCAUUGAUGCAGGACAGUUUUCCUGAGCUCGGUUUGACCAGAAAAGACUGUAGAGAAAUGACUUUUGUUGAAUCUAUCGUCUAUCUUGAUGGAUAUGAGGUUGAAGAGCCGAUUAAUGUGGAUGUAUUGCUUGGUAGGGAUUUUCACGUUAGGUUUUUCAGAGGAAAAGUAGACUAUUUAACAGAACCAAUUCCCGAAGAAGCUUUCCAAGGAAUUUACGAUAUAUUUUUGGAACAGGAUCAGGAAACUAACGGCCUUCUAAUGUUUUUUCCUUAUGGUGGGAAGAUAAGUGAGAUUUCAGAGUCCGAAAUUCCGUACCCACAUAGAGCUGGCAACAUAUACACACUUUUAUACUAUGCGGGUUGGGAUCUAGAAUCAACUGAUGACACAUAUCAAAGGCAUGACAAUAUGCUCAAAAAGUUGUUCAAUUAUAUGACUCCCUAUGUUGCCAAAAAUCCUAGAACAGCGUAUAUUAAUUACAGGGAUCUUGACGUCGGAACAAAUAACAAAUUAGGCCACACAAGCGUCCAGGAAGCCAGUGUUUGGGGAAAAAAGUAUUUCAAAAAUAAUUUCUACAGGCUGGUGCAUGUGAAAACUAUGGUGGAUCCUGAAAAUUUCUUCAGAAAUGAACAAAGCAUUCCCCCUUUCAACUUGGUGAAAGAUGAACUGUGAGCAAGUCCAAAGCUGCCCUUGCUAGUUAAUAAACGUAGUGCGUGAUUAUUGUAUUGCUAAAUAAUUUCCGCUUUAUAUUUCUUUCAUGUUUUUGUUGUAAGGAGCUCAUGAGUAGGUGUGUCUUGUCUUUUUAUCUUUUUGAUUAAUAAAGAUUUGCUCGCACCGUGCAGAUUCGCUUGAAGAAAUUAAUAUUUUCAAUCAUAAGCCCUAACUUCACGGACUGACGUAAUAGCAACUAAAUAUGAAUAGCUUUGGGGAAAAUAAUUCUUUCGGUACUUUAUUCAAACAUCCAUUAGGUUUUUUAUAAAAGCCAAUAGUAGUACACGAUUCACAUUACUAGCUACUUAUAAGCAAAAACAGAUACAUACAAAGCAAUAAUACAUGGAAUGCGGAAAUAAUGGGGAAGAUUAUUCACAUUACUAGUCAAAACUAAGUCCAGGCAUGAUCCUAGUACGCGGAAAGCUUUGUUGGCUGUUGCUGUUAUCUGGACGUAUAUCAUGUAUAUCGUUGAAUUCUGAGCUUAAAACUAGGUUCAAGAUAAAGUAUUGCUUUGUCGGUUUGGGUAAUGAGUUUUGUAUGUCUUGUCAACUCUGUUCUAAGCGACAUGUCAGCGGAAUAAAAAGUGGAGCAGACGACAGCCACAUUGUGUCAGCCAAACUUCGUAAGUAAAGCAUGCGUUUGUCACGUGUGUUUACUUAUAAGUUUUAGCUUUAAACGACAGGCUAUAAAAUAAUUUUAGAAGAUGUCUAAUUUUGGUAAAAUAAUUUUGCAAUUUAUAUUCUUCACUGGAAAUAGAAUUUUCUAAGCUUGCAGGCUUGCAUUUGAAAAAAUCAUAAGAAGUUAAAUUUUUAUCCGAUUGGAUUGAAAUAUGUUUCAAAACAUUUUUGAAGAUGUCUGGUUCAACAUAUACAAAAUUAGAAUCAAAAUAAAUUUGACUAAUUACUAUAUUUUUUGAAACAACACAUCGUCAGCAAAGUUUCUUGCAAAAUAUUAUAUUUUUACUUCUACAAUUAUUAUCUAAACAUGCUUCUCUAUGACAAGUACCGAAAAUCAAGAAUCAAAAUUUGCCUAAAUCUUCCCUCUCAGCACAAAACCUAGUUCAAUUGACACAACUUUGAUCUCAUGACUCACCCUUACUUUUACUUAUGGCUGCACAUAGGAAACGAAUUUUGCUUCUUCACCUGUCUUUCUUCUUUCUCUCUUCUCUCGUCUUUUCUUUUUCUUUCUUUUUACCAAUCUCUCUUUCUCUUAUAAUGGAGAGAGCACAUAUAUGCACUUACAUAUUAAUGGAUAAGAAAAGACUAAAUUACCCUUAAUAUAAUGAAAUGACUAAAACAACCUAGAAUAAUUAGGGGUAUUACAAUAGGUCUACAACCUAGAAUAAUUAGGGGUAUUACAAUAGGUCUAUGUGGCCAUCUAAGUAAUCCUUGGAAGUAUGGGUAACUUUAUACCAAAAUUAAAGAUAAAAAGAUGAGACUAUACAUUUGUAAACAGUACUUGCUAUUGUGUCUUUCACGUUGAGUUAAUUUUAUCAAACAGUCUUUUCGUUGUUUGAUACAAAAAUUACGACGCCUUACUAGUUUUAUCUUAAUAAUUUUAUCAAAAUAUUACUUAAAAGUCAAAUUUACUAAAGACAAUCAAAAUUUAUUCCAAAGCCAUUAACUCAUAUAAUUUAAUAGCGUAAUGACCGGAAAAACUUGUAAGCCACAUGGUUUAAUAGAGUAAUGCAUAUAGUUUAAUAGUAUAAUGACUGAAAAACCUAUUGAGUCAUGUGUUUUAAUAGUGUAAUGUUAUUAAACUAUUAAAUCAUAUGGCUUUAAAAUUUUUCUGGACUUUAAUAAAGUCCAAGAUCUUGGACUAGAUUAGUAAUAUAUAUAUAUAUAUGAUCUUGGACUUCAUUAAAAUUUGAGAAAGCUAUUGAUCCAUAUGAUUUAAUAAUAUAGUGACAUUAACAAAAUUUAAAAUCCUUGACUAGAUGAGUACUCUCUCUCUCUAUAUAAAAUUUUCCAACGAAGGAUAUGGCAAGUCUUAAAGCUUGAUCUUAGCCGCAACUCCCUUUCAGGCGAAGUUCCACCAGAAAUUGGAAACUGUAACCAUCUCACUUACCUUGAAAUGAGCCAAAACAAACUCUCUAGUUCAAUCACACCUGAAAUUUCCAAUGUCAGAAUCCUCGAUUACUUGAAUUUAUCAAGAAACCACUUGAACCAAAACGUACCCAAAUCAAUAGAAUGCAUGAACAGCCUCACCAUUGCUGAUUUUUCAUUUAAUGAUUUCUUCGGUAAGCCUCGUCUUUUGCUGAAUGCCUCGUCUUUUGCUGGCAACCCUGAAAUCUGUGGCACUCUCCUUAACAAUUUGCAACUUGACACCAACCGCUCACCAGCCAGGAAAAGCCCCCCGGGGAUUUCAAGCUGAUUUUUGCAUUAGGCCUUCUGAUAUGCUCACUGAGUUUCGCUACUGCUGCCAUAAUCAAGGCCAGAUCAUUCAAGAAAACGGGUUCGGAUUCCUGGAAAAUGACAGUAUUCCGGGAGCUGGAGUUCUCAGUUAGUGAUAUCAUGGAAUGUGUCAAGGAUGGCAAUGUUGUAGGCAGAGGAGGAGCUGGGAUUGUGUAUCCUGGAAAAAUGCCAAAGGGGGUCGAAAUUGCUUGAAAAAACUGCUCGAUUUCGGCACACACAGCCAUGAUCAUGUCUUCAAAUCUGAGAUUCAAACACUAGGCAACAUCAGGCACAGGAACAUGGUCAGGUUACUAGCAUUUUGCUCCAACAAAGAAACCAGUCUGCUUGUUUAUGAGUACAUGAGAAAUGGGAGCUUGGGGAAAGUAUUGCAUGGCAAAAAAGGGGAGCUUCUUGGGUGGAAUUUGAGGUACAAAAUCGCCAUUGAAGCAGCUAAAGGCCUAUGCUACUUUCACCAUGAUUGCUAACCUUUGAUUGCUCGUAGUGAUGUGAAAUCAAACAACAUUUUGCUAAAUUCAGCCUUUGAAGCUCACAUCGCCGACUUCGGCCUCGCCAAAUUCUUGAUCGACGGCUGUGCAUCGGAAUGUAUGUCAGCAAUUGCAGGGUCGUAUGCACCAGGUAUUUACAUUUUACUUUCGUGCUGUUGGAUUAUUAUUAUUAUUAUUAUUAUUACUAUUUUAUGUUUGCAUUUUUCAAACUUCGGCGAUGGUGUUGACAUUGUACAAUGGAGGAAAAGAGCAACGAAUGAGAGGAAAGAAGAAUUUUUGAGCAUUCUUGAUCCAAGUUUAACGAUGGUACCAAAAUAAGAAGCAAUGCACUUACUUUUCAUUGCAAUGCUAUGCAUUCAAGAAAAUGGAAUUGAGAGACCAACAAUGAGAGAAGUUGUUCAAAUGCGAUCCCAACUCCCUCGUCAUUCCCCCGAAUUUAACCAAUCUUCAUCUUUUUCAUUGAAGGAUCUCGAAAAAGAUCAAUAGGGUUGCCCUAAUAAUAAAUUGAAACAAGAUCUAUUUUUUCGUUUUUUAGGGCUUUAAUUUAUUGGUGUUUUUUUUUUUUUUUAAGUUAGCUUGAUUUUGUUACAGUCCUUUUAUGUUCAAAGUUUAUCUUCUUUUAUUUUAUGUUUUUCCUCUUUUGGGCUUCGAUUAGCAGGGAGAGAGACGAUUUGGUGAGUGGUGACAAAGAGAAGUAUUGAUAAUUUAUAGGUACUUGCAUGCUCUUUGUAUUAUAUUAGGGUGUUAACAUACAUGAUAUUUAUAUUUCAUUGCUUUAUGCAAUCUCUCUUUUAUUUUUUAUUUUUUAUUUUUAUUUCUCGAUGAAUAUUAAUUUUAAGUGAUAUUAACAUAAGAAAAUAAUUUUUAUUUUUAACAAUAUGAAAAUAGCACUAUAAGCAAUGUGUGAGAACAAUUAAAUUUGAUUUUUUAAAUAUUUGAGAGAUCUUGCUUCCUUUUUAAAUUAUGAUUUUUAAAAUAAAUAUAAAGAUAAAAAAUAAUAACUUAUUGGGCCAUGAAAGUAGGAAGGUCCAGCCCACAUCCUAAUUGUAGGGCUUUGGACUUGGAAUAAAGUGGUGGAAUUAAAAAAAAAAAGGAGAUUCUUUAAUCACUGUCAAACAGUGAAGUCAAAUGGUCAGAUUCUAAAAUUUAUGACAAAUAAUUCUGUUGAGAUUUUCUAGUUAAUGUGGAUUUUUGUUACCUCCAACGCUACGCUAGCAUUCUAAUAUCUUUGUAAGAAUAUUUCUGUGGUGACCAACAAAGUGUUGGCCCCAUUGGUAAUGGAGUCCCCUUAAGUGGCUUGACUGGGUUUGCUCCCCAGUUCGAGUCGCAAGGAAGUCGCAUUUGUUGGGAGAACCUGUGCCUCCUGGUUCGAGCGGGGACUUCUAGUCUGGGUUGUGGUACAGGCUUAAAGGUGCCUCCCACAGUUGGGGCCCUCCCCAGGAUACCUCGUGAUUAAUAUCAAAAAAAAAAAAGAAUAUUUCUGUGGUGACAAAGAUUUUGUUAAAGCGAACACUUAAACAAAAUCAUCUUUUAUCCAAUUGCACUAUUUUGACAGACUUAUAAAUUAACCCUACCAGACAUUACAUAGAAUAGAUAAAUCAGUAAAAUGCAUGCUUUUCUGGAUUCUUACUUGUAUGGUUUUAUCUAUACCUUAAAAAUGAACUUAAUCAAUGCAAAGCUAUGAAUAUUUAGUUCCCAAAAUUUUCAAUUCUGCUGUUCAAUCUAAAUGUGGGAGCAGUAGUAAAGUCACUAUAGGACUAGCUGGGGUACGCCCCCGACUGACUUCAAAAAAAUUUUGAAGAAAAUUUUAAGUUAAAUCUUAUUUUCUUUGAAUCUAUGAAAGUGCCUCAUCUGUGUUUUAAAAUUAUAAAAAUAUCCUUAUUAAUCAUGUAAACUUUAAUACUUCCUCUAAUUCAAAAAUUGAAUUUAGGGAAAAUAUCCACCGUCCACUCGUUUUUUACACCUUUUUCAAAAAUACAUAAUUCCUUCAUUUUUUUGCUGGAAUCCACCUAAAGUUACAUUUUGUUUCACUUUUCCACUUCCGUUUGGAAUCCGUUAAGAAAACUAACGGAAACUUAAAAAAAUGACCAUUUUACCCCCAAAACGAAAAUUAAUGAGAGGAUAAAAGAAAUUGUAAUUUUUAAUUUUUAAUCUAAUUAUUUUUAAGGUGAAAUUGUAAUUUUUAAUUUUUAAUCUAAUCAUAAAAGAAAUUAAAAUUUAAUUUAAUUAUUUUUGGUAAUUUUUAAGGUGAAAUUGUAAUUUUUGUUUUACCCCUAAAACGAAAAUUAAUGAGAGGAUAAAAGAAAUUGUAAUUUUUAAUUUUUAAUCUAAUUAUUUUUAAGGUGAAAUUGUAAUUUUUAAUUUUUAAUCUAAUCAUAAAAGAAAUUAAAAUUUAAUCUAAUUAUUUUUGGUAAUUUUUAAGGUGAAAUUGUAAUUUUCGUUUUGGGGGUAAAAUGGUCAUUUUUUUAAGUUUCCGUUAGUUUUCUUAACGGAUUCCAAACGGAAGUGGAAAAGUGAAACAAAAUGUAACUUUAGGUGGAUUCCAGCAAAAAAAUGAAGGAAUUAUGUAUUUUUGAAAAAGGUGUAAAAAACGAGUGGACGGUGGAUAUUUUCCCUUGAAUUUAUUUAUUCAUAACUAGAGAUGGUUAUUGGGCCAAUCAUACCAAUUAUUAAAACUAAAUUUGAUACCCAAACAGUCCAUGGCAUAACAUACGUGGGCCAUGGGUCACGUUGGCCUAUCGUGCAACCUAGGCCAUCCCAUAAGCCUCACUAUAUAUAUAUAUAUAUCAUGAUUCUUUUGAACCAUAUCAAGUUAUCUACUAAGUUCAAGUGCUCAACAACAAUAAUAAAUAAUAAUAUUUGAUAAAUGAUAAAUAAUAAUAAAAUAUAAAUUACAAGAUUUUUAAAAAAAUUCUAUUAGCUAAACACACAUAUUACAUAAAACAUUAAGAGUCGAACCUAAAAUCUAAGUCUUCAGAAAGUUGCCUACUAAUUAGUGAAGUUAUGCCUAGAUUUCAACUUUGAACGGCUUAUGAGUUAAGUACUUAACAACUUAAGCUUAAAAUAAAAACAACAAGUAAAUAUGUUUCUUCCCAAUAUAUUUAUUUUAUUUGUAAUUUGUAGGUUUUCAUUUCAUAAAAAUAAAUUUUUUUAUUUGUCUCUCAAAUAAUGUUAUUUUUAAAUUAAUUAAGUAACAUUUCUAUUUAUUAUUUAAAAAUGAAAUUAUAAACAACAAUUCAAAUCAUUCAAUUAAAUUUAAAUUAAUUAUUUAAUAGAUUCAUCAAUGUAAAAUUAAAAAUUUAGAAAACAAAGUUUGAAAAUUUAAAUUUGAAAUAAAAUAAGAAAUUUAGAAAAAAAAUUUGAAAAAAUUGGAGUGGGCUCAUGGGCCUAUAACGAGCCUGUGCUUUAACGUACUGGGCCUAAGCAAGGCCCGUGCCAUGCCUAAGCAUGGCAUUACCCAUGGGCCAAAAAUGAUGGCCUGGCAUGGCCAAUUAAUGGGUCUUGCUCUCUCAUAGUGCUGUACGAACAUGAGACGUGUUGUGCCCAUGGAGCCAUUGGUCCACUGCUCAUUAGCCAUCUCCGUCCCUAGUUUAAAAAAUGAAUUCUUUGUGUAGUAAUAAAUCAAUGACUAUUAUAGUUAUUGUUAUAUAUUGUUAUUUGAAAUUUUUGAAAUUAUAUUGUAUCUUUUUUUAAGGUUUGAAUAGUAAUGAGAAAUCUCACUCAUUAAGUACUAAUUCUUACACUAUAUUAUUCACUCAAAUGACUGCAAGUAAAAAAUAUAUUAAUGGUCAGCUGAGCCACACUUAGAAAUUCAAAUUGUAUUAUAGGUUGAACAUAUCUCAGUUGAAAAAUAUUUUUUACUAUAUCCUUAUAUGUCAUUGUUAUUUAUUUAGAUGUACUUGAAACUGUAGUUUUAGAAAAUAAAACGGAGCAAAAAAAGGAACAUUUUAACUAUCCUCCAAAGUCAGUAAUCAUCUUGAUUACAAACCAUUCAAGAGCCUUUCAAUAAAGAACAUGAAACACUGUGAUAAUAAAAAGUUAUUAAAUUAUAACAUCUAAUCAUAUACAUAUUUGAUUGGAGAAACAAAAUAGAAAAAGAUCAACAUGUAAAAUGUUUCCCUCUCAUUUCAUAAAAUACUCACGAGUUCUUGAGAUUGAAUCUGUAUAGCCUAUAGGUAAUAUUGUUGAUCUUUUUAAGAACUAUAGUCACAUUAUCUACUUACACCAAUAACUCCUUGUUACCCCAAAAAAACCAUUAACCCUUGAUAAAAGGAAAAAGAAAACUAUUUAGUUAAUAACAAUGGAGUCCUUUUUGUUCGUUAAAAAUCAGACAAGUUAAAGAUUUCACGUUUUGACAUAUGUUUGUCUCUGUUUCCUUCCUCUCUCCUUCAGCCCUUCUCUACGUUCGUCUCUUUCAUUUAUUUAUUUAUUUAACUUCCUCCAAUUCCUUCUUGCUUUCUUCAUCUGCUCAAAUAAAUCGAUAGCUGUCAAAAGGAGAUCUCUCUACAAUUGCUGACUGAAGUUAAUGAUUUCAAUAUAUCUCGUACACACACAUAAAUACGCACUCUCUCUCUUAAAUCUUGCAUGAUGAAAAUUGGAACAUUUUUUUGUGGGUAUUGGCUAAAGUUGGCCAUUAAACCAAUUGGCUGUGACCAUUUCUAUGUAUUAUAUGUAUGUAUGCACAGCUGAUCUGCUUCAAUAACUUCUCCUUCUUCUCAAAUCAAUUAAAUUAAUGGUUGUUUGAUGAUGUUUUCUGAUGUUGUAUCAGCUUGAAAAAGUAUGUUUUAUGGUUGUGCAAAUUCAAUUGGUUGAUUUUCUACAAACCUAUCUUAUUAUCUUAAAAAAUUUGAAGACAAAUUAUCUAUGAAAAUCUAAUUACAAAGGAGAAUGUUGAAUCUGGUUCGUUAGCUAUGCUUUGAUCAAGAACCAGAUCCUCCCAAGAUUCUCAGCCAAGAUUAAUCAGGAUGCAAUAUCAGCUUAGAUCAACUUCAGAGAAUCAACUAAACCCAAUAAGACUCGUAACAAAAAGGAUUAAUUACAACCUUAGAAACCAAAACCAGCAAGAAAAUCAAUCACACAAAACAGAGCACAAGCUUUAACGUGGUUCAGCCAUUAAUGGCUUACAUCCACGAGUGAAUUCCUCAGACAGCUUUAUUGAAUGAUUCAAGAAGUUUUGUUACAGAGAUUCUAAGAACAAGAACAAGUAAGACACUUCCUCUCAGACUUCCCUCAAUCUCUAUCACGCACGAUGAUCUCCAAACCAGAAGGCUGCAGCUUAUAUACCAGUCUUGUAACAGCUCUAACAACCCAGAUUGCACAGCUCCUUGACACGUGUACUAUGAGUCUGUUAUUUAACGAACUCAGCUUCAGCUAACUAUCACGUGAAGAACCCGUGACUCCACUUAAGUUGAGCAUAUCCAAAACGCACUCAUGUGUUGCCGUUUCGAAACAAAGGAUUGGCUGUGCUUCUCACGUGAUCACUUAAAGCUUCUGAACACUACUGGAAACGCUGUCGUUUGCUGGCAAAGGUGUUUGAAUUCACCUUUCAGCCAACAAUACUCCACCUUGAAUCAAACACCCUGCAACUGAUACAUUCACCAACUGAUUCAUAUCAAGUUUUGCAGAUACCAACUAAGUCCAAACAUUUUUUGAACUUAGUUGCAGGAACCACCUUCGUGAGCAUGUCAGAGGGGUUGUCAUCAGUAUGUAUUUUAACCAUCUUGAUAACUCCCCUGGAGACUUCAUUUCUUAUGAAGUGAAGUUUAAUAUCAAUAUGUUUGGUCUUCUCAUGGUGAGCUGGAUUCUUACACAAAUGCAGUGCACUGGAGCUGUCACAGAAAAUUGGUACAGAUUCUUGUUUUAAACCGAGCUCAGUGAUUAAGCCCUUGAGCCAAAUGGCCUCCUUUGCAGCUUCAGUGGCAGCUGUAAAUUCUGCUUCUGUUGUGGAAAGUGCCACUACAUGCUGCAAGUUUGCCUUCCAAUUAAUCAGGCAGCCAUUUAACAUAAACAAGUAUCCUGUGAGUGAUCUUCUUCUGUCCAGAUCUCCUGCAUAGUCAGAAUCUACAUAGCCCCACAACAUUUCUUCUGUUCCAGAGUUCUUUCCAUAUACCAGACCAACAUUCAAAGUACCCUUUAGAUACCUUAGUAUCCAUUUCACCCCUUUCCAGUGUUCUUUGCCUGGAGAUGCCAUGUAUCUGCUGACAACACUCACAGCAUGUGAGAUGUCAGGCCUAGUCAGCACCAUGGCAUACAUAAGGCAUCCUACUGCCUUUGCAUAUGGAAUAUUGGCCAUCUCAAGUCUUUCUUCUUCAGACUUUGGACAAUAUAGGUUGCAAAGUUUGAAGUGUGCUGCUAAGGGGCCUUGUACAGGUUUAGAAUCCUCCAUAUCAAAGGUUUCCAGUAUUUUCUUCAAGUAUUUCUCUUGAGAUAAAAAUACCAGUCCUUCACUUCUGUUCCUUCUUAUAUCAACUCCUAAUAUCCUUUUAGCACUUCCUAAAUCCUUCAUGUCAAAUGCAGUGCCAAGCAAUGUCUUCAAAGCAUCUAUUUCAGAUCUUUCUUCACAAGCAAUCAACAUAUCAUCUACAUAUAGCAGUAGAUAGAUAUGUUUCUCAUGACUUAGCUGUUUAAGGUAGACACAGCAAUCAUAAUUGCACCUCUGAAAUCCAUGAGUGGUUAUAAACUCAUCGAAUUUGAGGUACCAUUGCCUAGGAGAUUGCUUCAGGCCAUAGAGGGAUUUCUUUAGCAAGCAUACACAGUCUCUUCCGUCAGGAGCUUCAUAUCCUUCUGGUUGACUCAUGAAAAUUUCUUCCUGAAGAUUUCCAUGCAAAAAAGCAGUCUUAACAUCAAGCUGUUCCAGCUCCAGAUUCUGUGUUGCUGUUAUAGCCAUCAGUACUCUUAUGGAAGCAUGCCUUACUACAGGGGAGAAAACUUCCUUAAAAUCAACACCCUCCAUCUGAGUGUACCCCUUUGCAACUAACCUAGCCUUAAACCUCCUUGGUUCAGCUGCAGUCAUACCCUCUUUGAUUCUGUAUAUACACUUGCAACCAACAAUCCUCCUAUUCUUAGGUCUUUUAACCAGUUCCCAGGUACAAUUCUUGUACAGUGAGGUCAUUUCUUCAUCCAUAGAUUUCUUCCAUUCUUUUGCAUACUGACAGUUAAUGGCUUCUUUGAAAUUCUGUGGUUCUUCAGCAUUUAUCUCAUGAGCAGAAUGUAAUGCAAAAGCAAUCAGAUCAGCAUAGCCAUACCUCUUAGGUGCUUUGCUUUGUCUCUUCUGUCUAUCUCUUGUCAACUGAUAAUCCAUUACUUGUGAUUGAGUUGAUCCAGCUUCUUGAAGUGACUCCUGUCUUCCAAUAUCAUCAGCACUUUCAGCUGAUUCUGUAUCAUCAUUCUGAUUCAGGUUGCCAGGUGACUCCACCUCAAAAUGUUCCUCAUGAACUUGAUCAGCUCUCACACUGUUUCUUUGAAUACUAUCCACUGCUGCUUCUUCAUUGAACUUGACAUCUCUGCUUACUAUGCACCUGGGUGGAGAGAGAUCAGUACACCAAAGCUUAUAUCCUUUGGUUCCCUCUGGAUACCCAAUGAACACACAUUUCAGUGCUCUGGGUGCUAGUUUUCCUUGGCUUAUGUGAGCAUAACUCAGACAACCAAACACCUUAAGGUCUUUAUAACUGGCUUGUUUACCAUACCAAAGCUCAAAAGGUGUCUUGAAUUCAAUGGCAGUGGAGGGGCUCAAAUUCACCAGGUAGCAAGCUGUGUUGAGAAUCUCAGCCCACAAAUUCUUAGGUAGCUUGGCUUGAAUCAUCAUGCACCUCACCUUAUCCAUGAGAGUCCUAUUCAUCCUCUCAGCUAAGCCAUUCUGCUGAGGUGUCAUUUUUACAGUUUUAUGCCUUGCAAUACCUUCCUUUGCACAAAAUUCAUCAAACACCUGGUUGCAAAACUCCAAUCCAUUAUCAGUCCUCAAUUUUUUCACUGUUUUUCCAGUCUGUUUUUCAACCAAGACCUUCUAGUUCUUGAAUUUUUCAAACACCUGUUCUUUAUUCUUAAGCACAUAAAUCCAGACUCUUCUUGAAAAAUCAUCAAUUAUAGACAAAAAAUAUCUUGCUCCUCCCAGUGAUGCUACUUGUGCAGGUCCCCACAAGUCUGAGUGUAUGUAAUCCAGAAUGCUUCUAGUAGUGUGAACUGAUGACUUGAAACUGGUUCUUGUAGAUUUCCCUAGGACACAAUCUUCACAAAACACCAUCUCACCAAUUGUAUCACUGCCUAACAGCCCCUGUUUUGACAACUCUUUAAGGCCUCUCAGACUCAUAUGUCCAAGCCUUAAGUGCCAUAGCCUAGUUUUGUCAACACUAGAGCUAGAUGACACUGACACCAUCCCUGUCACAGUUGUCCCUUCUAACACAUAGAGACCAUUCUUCCUGAUUCCUUUUAACAGAACCAGUGACCCCUUUACAACACUCAUUAUACCCUGCUGGACCUUAACAACACAACCUAUCUGAUCCAACAUCCCCAGUGAGAUCAAAUUCCUUUUUAAAUCAGGUACAUGCCUCACUUGUUUGAGUUCAAGAAUUGAGUUAUCAUGCAAUUUCAGUUUAAUAACCCCAAUCCCUAUAACUCUACAGAUUGCAUUAUUCCCCAUCAUCACCCUACCACCAUCAUAUUCUUGAUACUCAGAGAAAUGAUGUUUAAAAGGGCACAUAUGAAAAGAACACCCUGAGUCAAGCACCCACUUACCUUCCUGAUCAACAUCAGAGGCAAUUAGGACUCCAGCUGACUCAUAACCUUCUUCUUCAACUACUGCUGCAUCACCAUUUUCACUUCUUUGCUCUUUGUGCUGUUUGUUCUUCCUUUCUGGACAAUCUCUCUUAAAGUGACCUUCCUUAUGGCACUGGAAGCACUUAAGAGUCUUGUUCUUGUCUUUGGCCUUCCCUUGCUUCUUUUUCUGGUUCUUGUAAUGUUGACCCUUUGCAGUUAACCCUUCCCCAGUUUCUUGAUCAAGAUUCUGUCUCUUUUCUUGCAGCUCCCUUGUGUUUAGAGCUGACUUAACUUCAUCCAAAGAGAGAGUUUGUCUCCCAUACAUGAGUGCAUCAACAAAGUUCUUGUAAGACCCUGGAAGAGAGCUAACCAGCAGCAAAGCUUUUCCCUCAUCAUUUAAAGCUUCAUCAAUUGUUGCAAGUGUAUCACACACUUGAUUGAAUUCAUCAAUGUGCUUAUCCAGUGAUGAGCCUUCUGUCAUCUUUAGAGUGAACAUCCUUUUCUUGAUGUACAGAUGUCUCAUUGACAACUUCUCUGAUUAUAGAAUCAGCAAGGCUAAGGAUUAUGGUACCUUUUGCCUUCUUGUCAAUUUCAGCCAUCUGCUCUGGAGUCUUUGAAGAUGAUACUCCCUUCCCUUCUAUCUUAGUUGAAGCUUCAAGUGCAUCACCAAGACCUUGAGUGACCAAGAGAGCCUGGAUUUUAACAUUCCACAUGUUGAAGUCGUUUCUGCCAUUAAACUUCUCCAAAUCGACCUUCUGAGUAGCCAUACCUGAAUCUUGGUUAAGAACCAAGCUCUGAUACCAAUUGUUGAAAUCUGGUUCUUUUCUUUGCUUUGAUGAAGAACCAGAUCCUCCUAAGAUUCUUAGCCAAGAUUAAUCAAGAUGCAAUUUCAGUUUAGAUCAAUUUCAGAGAAUCAACUAAACCCAACAAAGCUCGUAAUGAAAAGAUUAAUUACAAACACAGAAACCAAGAAACCAGCAAGAAAACCAAUCACACUAAAACAGAGCACAAGCUUUAACGUGGUUCAACCAUCAAUGGCUUACAUCCACGAGUGAAUUCCUCAGGCAGCUUUAUUGAAUGAUUCAAGAAGUUUGUUACAGAGAUUCUAAGAACAAGAACAAGUAANNNNNNNNNNNNNNNNNNNNNNNNNNNNNNNNNNNNNNNNNNNNNNNNNNNNNNNNNNNNNNNNNNNNNNNNNNNNNNNNNNNNNNNNNNNNNNNNNNNNNNNNNNNNNNNNNNNNNNNNNNNNNNNNNNNNNNNNNNNNNNNNNNNNNNNNNNNNNNNNNNNNNNNNNNNNNNNNNNNNNNNNNNNNNNNNNNNNNNNNNNNNNNNNNNNNNNNNNNNNNNNNNNNNNNNNNNNNNNNNNNNNNNNNNNNNNNNNNNNNNNNNNNNNNNNNNNNNNNNNNNNNNNNNNNNNNNNNNNNNNNNNNNNNNNNNNNNNNNNNNNNNNNNNNNNNNNNNNNNNNNNNNNNNNNNNNNNNNNNNNNNNNNNNNNNNNNNNNNNNNNNNNNNNNNNNNNNNNNNNNNNNNNNNNNNNNNNNNNNNNNNNNNNNNNNNNNNNNNNNNNNNNNNNNNNNNNNNNNNNNNNNNNNNNNNNNNNNNNNNNNNNNNNNNNNNNNNNNNNNNNNNNNNNNNNNNNNNNNNNNNNNNNNNNNNNNNNNNNNNNNNNNNNNNNNNNNNNNNNNNNNNNNNNNNNNNNNNNNNNNNNNNNNNNNNNNNNNNNNNNNNNNNNNNNNNNNNNNNNNNNNNNNNNNNNNNNUCAAGAUUCUGUCUCUUUUCUUGCAGCUCCCUUGUGUUUAGAGCUAACUUAAUUUCAUCCAAUGAGAGAGUUUGUCUCCCAUACAUGAGUGCAUCAACAAAGUUCUUGUAAGACCCUGGAAGAGAGCUAACCAGUAGCAAAGCUUUUCCCUCAUCAUCUAAAGCUUCAUCAAUUGUUGCAAGUGUGUCACACACUUGAUUGAAUUCAUCAAUGUGCUUAUCCAGUGAUAAGCCUUCUGUCAUCUUUAAAGUGAACAUCCUUUUCUUGAUAUACAGCCUGUUGGCCAAGGAUUUCUUCAUGUACAGGCUUUCCAAUUUCUCCAUCAAACCAGCAACAGAUGUCUCCUUGGCAAUUUCUCUAAUUACAGAAUCAGCAAGGCUAAGGAUUAUGGUACCUUUUGCCUUCUUGUCAAUUUCAGCCAUCUGCUCUGGAGUUUUUGAAGAUGAUGCUCCCUUCCCUUCGAUCUUGGUUGAAGCUUCAAGUGCAUCACCAAGACCUUGAGUAACCAAGAGAGCCUCGAUUUUAACCUUCCACAUGUUGAAGUCGUUUCUGCCAUUAAACUUCUCCAAAUCUACCUUCUGAGUAGCCAUACCUAAAUCUUGGUUAAGAACCAAGCUCUGAUACCAAUUGUUGAAUCUGGUUCGUUAGCUAUGCUUUGAUCAAGAACCAGAUCCUCCCAAGAUUCUCAGCCAAGAUUAAUCAGGAUGCAAUAUCAGCUUAGAUCAACUUCAGAGAAUCAACUAAACCCAAUAAGACUCGUAACAAAAAGGAUUAAUUACAACCUUAGAAACCAAAACCAGCAAGAAAAUCAAUCACACAAAACAGAGCACAAGCUUUAACGUGGUUCAGCCAUUAAUGGCUUACAUCCACGAGUGAAUUCCUCAGACAGCUUUAUUGAAUGAUUCAAGAAGUUUUGUUACAGAGAUUCUAAGAACAAGAACAAGUAAGACACUUCCUCUCAGACUUCCCUCAAUCUCUAUCACGCACGAUGAUCUCCAAACCAGAAGGCUGCAGCUUAUAUACCAGUCUUGUAACAGCUCUAACAACCCAGAUUGCACAGCUCCUUGACACGUGUACUAUGAGUCUGUUAUUUAACGAACUCAGCUUCAGCUAACUAUCACGUGAAGAACCCGUGACUCCACUUAAGUUGAGCAUAUCCAAAACGCACUCAUGUGUUGCCGUUUCGAAACAAAGGAUUGGCUGUGCUUCUCACGUGAUCACUUAAAGCUUCUGAACACUACUGGAAACGCUGUCGUUUGCUGGCAAAGGUGUUUGAAUUCACCUUUCAGCCAACAGAGAAGAAUCAGGAUAAAAAAUUUUUUUUAAAAAAGAAAGAAACGUGGAGCAGGAGAUUGAGAUGGAUCAAGAAGUACUAAGGGAGAGAGAAAAAAAUUUAGAAUUUUAAAAUUAUUAUUUAUUUAUUAUGGCUUAGAUGUUAACAAUUCUGAAACUUACUUUGUCAACAAGUAGCUGUGGAUUAAAAAAAUAAAGAGUUGAAUUUGUUCAUUUAAAUCCUAAGAAAUUUUUUAUUCAUUUUCACCAAUUCAAUUUAAUUUAAUUUAUUUUUUAUCUUUAUGUGAUUAAAUUUUCCUUUUUUUUUUUUUUUUUGAACUUGAACUCUUGAUUUUUUGCUUCAACAAGAAGUGGCCACACCUAAAUUUUUACCAUUGCAAAUUCUUGAGGGGAAUUUUCUUGAUCCACCCACAUAGGUAGUGAGAGGCCUACCUCAAUCCACUUUUUAAAACUGCGAGAGUAGAGGCCCGAACCCAUGUCUACCUUUAUCUAAUUUAAGGACGGUUACCAAUGGACUUGGGCUGCCAAUCAUGUGGGUUCUUCUUUAGAGAUACUAUACAACAUCCUUAUUUCUUAAGCACUUUCGAAGUGUGUUUGAGAUGGUUGUUGGAAGAUUGAAAAAUGAUUUUGCUAAACUAAAUGAUAAUUUUACUGUUUGACUUUUUUUUUAACUUUUUUUUUGUAAAGUCACCUCUUGAAGCAAAUUAGUAAAAAUUGGGUACAAAGCAUUAGACUACAUACAUUUGCAGGCUGACUACCCCGACCACCCGAGGCAAAAAAUAUAAAUCCAAGAUAAAGAUAUAAAAUUUAAAAAUUUACCACGUUAAUGUAAAUUUUAAAGUCCGGCCCCUUUGUUUUAUACUAAAUUUUGUAAUAGACUAAUAAAAUUUAUGGUUUCCAACACCUAAAAAUCUUAAAUCAUUGUGGAAACAUCAACAUGUUGGACUAUAGUCACUUAAAGUCCGGCCCCUUUGUUUUAUACUAAAUUUUGUAAUAGACUAAUAAAAUUUAUGGUUUCCAACACCUAAAAAAUAAAAGUUAUCAAAUAUUUAACUAACUUCUUUACCGCAGAGUAUUUCUCUAAUAUAACUAUAGUUUUCACAUUAAUUGUUUCUUCAAAAAAGAAACGUAAUCUUAAAUCAUUGUGGAAACAUCAACAUGUUGGACUAUAGUCACUUACUACACCGUAUAGAAGAUAAUGUACAUUAUAAUCUCACAUUUAUGACAAUUACGUACAUCCACUUGAGUCGCCACAAGAAUUUUCUAUAAUGAAGAAAAUAAAAAAUAGAAACAAAACUCUUGAGACAAUGUUUAAAUUUUAUUUACUGUAACUUAUAAUUAUUAAAAAUAGUAUAAAAUAAAUAAUAAAUAAGUAAAUUAUGUAGGAUCGGUCUUAUAUUUUUAUUUUAUUUUUAAUAAUUAUAAAUUACAGUGUUACACUACAUAUAAUUAAAAAAGACCCGACUCUUUUACACACACACACACAUAAUGAUAAUAGAUUCCAAAACAUCUUUACAUAAUUAAGGUAACUUUGUAGAGAUUGGAGAUGUAUCAGUAUCAAAAUAGAAAUCCUAAAAUACGCAUAAAAUGUUGCGGCUCCUGUGGUUGGGGUGGUGGGGGUUUUAAAUUUGAGCAGUGCUAGCGACAGUCACUCUCAUGAGAGACUGAUUCAGUCGUUAGCUUCCUCUGCCGACAUGUGUCUGAUAUUUUGAUUUCCGUAUAAUUUUAAAUUAAUGUUAAAAUAUUAAUACCUUUUAAUUUUAUUUUAAUACUUUUAUGAGUAUGUGUACAUAAAAAUAAAUAAUAUUAAAAAAACUAAAAUAAUUAAUAUUUUAACAUUAAUUUAAAAUUAUACAUAAACUAAAAUAGCGGACACGUAUUAACAACAACACUCUUCUUUAAAUUUUUUAUUACCACCCCUAAUCCCUUCCAACCCCACACUGACUUUUAAUUUAGAUUUGCAACAUCUGUUAAUAUUGAAGACAUAAAUUAGGCUGCAAUCACAUCAAUCAGCUAUCGUGACGAUAUAUACUUAAUUUGAGGAUAAAAUUUUCACCAUGACCCUUCAAUGUUAAUCCUCAGCCAUUCUACACUCUUCUAAAGGUUCGUCGUGAUGAUUCAAUCAAACGGCUGUGAUGAGCUCAAUUGAUGGCUUUGAUUUCUUCUUCCUGCUGAUAAACCCUCAUUAUGAGACUCCGUCAAACAAUUCUUCCCUUAACUUGCGGCAAUCCAAUAAAAUUAAUUAAAAAUCAUCAAAUCUUGGAAAACAAAUAAUUUCACAUAAUUUAAAUCAUGAUUUAUGUGCUUAUGUCAUUUUAAAAAUAAAUUGACAAAUUUUAAUUGUCUUUUGAAUUAAUUUAAAAUUAAAUUAACUUUGACCAUUUUAAUUUUUAUUAUUUCUGUUCGUUCGUCUUUUUUAUUAUUGAUCAAACAAAUAACUUUGACUCGUUCACUUGUGACUAUACUACAAGCAUGCGUGCGGACUUGAAGAGUUUAAACAAGGCCGUUCGGUCUGUCUCGUUCUCAGCAACUCUAGAAAAUAUUAUUGCCAAUUACAUAUUGGGUUUUGGCUUUGUCAAAAUUUGAUGUUAAAGAAUGGUCAGUGUUAUGUUACGUUAAACGUAACAUACACAUACUCACAACAACAAUAACAUAAACUGAAUGUGUGUAGGUUACGUUUAACGUAACGUAGAAUGAUCCUAAAAAAUAUGUAAAUUAGCACUCAAGUAAAAAAGAUUACAGAAAUUUCUUUUGCCGACAAACCUUUUAUUAUAUUUAUUGAUAUUUAAAAUAAUAAGAUAACUUCCGUAAUGUAAUUAAUGAAUAAAUAAAAUAAGUUAGUCAAGCAGGUGGCAAGUCAAAAAAAUGUUAAAAGACGUGCAUGGGGGCAGCACCAACUUGACCGGCAACAAUUAACCACAAAGUUUUCUUUCCAAUAAACUUUCAAAUUUUGGAUUAAAAAAAUAUUUUCUUUCAAUUGGUGGUAGCAAGAUACUGGUCGAUUCUUCUAGAAUUUUUGGUUUUUUAUAAUAUAUUAAUUAUGACAUGUUUAAUUAAUUUUAUUUACAACGUACAAGUCAUCACAGAAAAUUAUUAAUUAACGAAAAAGUUGACUUUCCAAUAUACUUCCAAAUUGUGCUGGAGAUAUAUAUCUAUUGGGCUACUGAAAUUAGUUAAGUAAUAUGUCUAUUCAGAGAGAAACACGUACGUGCAACCGCCCCACUACUUUAAAUAAUAAAUAGUGUUAAGUUAUGCAGCUAGCAGAGCAGUAAGUUUGAGAACGGAACUCUCAAAUCUACUAAAUUUAAUAUCAAAGCGCGUCUCAUAUCCAACGUCCAAGAAGUAGAUAUCCUUCAGGAAAGAUCAAAGGGAAGGAGAAGGUUGAUUGAGACUGCUUGCUACUGGGACCUAUUUUCUUGCCUUAAGAGGUAUAGUCUUUAGGGAUUACACAUAACCGAAAAAGAUAAUGGAUUUCAUAGUAGAAUCCAUUGAAAGCUGAGGUGGUGGAAUAAUCCGAUACAAGUUUUUCUUCUACACAAGGUUUGGAAUUUCAUUACGAGGAAGACGAAGUUUCUUUUCCUGUUGGUCAAAUUUUAAUCAAAAUGCAGCAAGUAUUUUGUAUGAGCUACAUAUCCGAUCAAGAUAUUUAAAAAGCUAGUCACCCAAGCACUUCAAAUAAUUGAAACAAAAAUAGAAUUGAUGAGAAUCGAAAAAUCAACUUAGGAUUAAGAAAUGUUGAGAUUGACAAAUUUUGGUUUGAUAUUGUGGUUGAAUAGCUAUAAUUUUUAAGUUAUAAUAUUAAACUGUUCAGUAAAUACUUACUGAUGUGGUUUCAACAUUUUAGCAUUAUUGAUUAAUUUUAACCUUGUAACAUCUUUACUAUUUUUUGUUGAAAUUUUGAUUUUAGAUUCAUAUUUACCAUACACUAUUAACUUUUAUUUCAAAACUAUAUAUAUAAAGUACUGAUUUAGUGCAUGAUCUUAGACUUUAUAAAAUCCCAAGAAAGCUAUUAAAUCAUAUGAUAUAUAUAACCAAACAGAGCCUUUGAUUUAAAAAAAAAGUAUUUACAUGUGUCAUUUACAAAAAAAAUGUGCGGACAAUAUUGUUUUAUCAAGUAUAUAAUCACUAGUAGUAAAAACAAUUAAAUUUUCAAUAAAAAUUAUCUAAAUUUAAACAUUAAACUAAAUUUAACUACUUCCUCCAUAACUAUGAUCAACAACUGCCUUCUACCUCAAACUUAUUUAAAAAAUAUUUGUCUACGUUUACUAAAACGCUUAAUUUUAUUUUUUUGGACUAUCAUAUGUUGAUUUUAUUUUUUCUGAUUAUUAUGUCUCAUAACUAUUUAGCUUUUUAGAGUUUAUAUUUAGGACUUGUUUGUUAGAAGUCUGAAGUAUGAAACUUGAUUAAUUUUUGGCCUUUUUAAAAUUUUGUUUAUUUAUUUUUUGUAACUUAAAUAUGAUUUUUAGACAUUUACAUCUUAAUAGAAAAAGUAAUUUUUUGUGCUUUUUUGUCUAAAUGAAAGAAAAGACUUGAAUGAGAAGUAAGUAUUAUAUUCCAACAAUAUCUCUAUAAAAUAUACUUAUUUUCUAAACAAUAAAAGCUAAUACCUUUUUUUUUUCUAUGAUUUACUAGGAUAUAAACGUCAAAUAAUCAUGUUUAAGAUAUUUUUCAUUUAUAAAAACAGACAUAAUGACACUUAUGUUCACAUAUUUAAAAAUGAAAAAUAAACAUGUCAUUUAAAUAUUCGUAUUCAAAUCUAUUCAGAAUUCAAAAAAAUUUAGACCUAUUCAGAUUUUAGAUAAAAAGACAAACACUAUCUUAAUUUUUGAUCUAAUUACUAACUUCUUAUUACAAUUUCAAUUCAUUGCUUUGUUUGUUCAACAAAAAUUCAUACUAGCACCAACAUGUUCUCUUGAUGCAUGAAGAUAAUGCUACUUGUAUUGUUCAAAUUAGAAAAAAAUAUAUAAGUGAUAUAUAAGCACUUUUUACUAAAAUUCUUCUGCACUCAUGAGCUCUAAUAAACUAAAAAAAUGAAUGCCAAUAAAUGCAUCUACUAAAAACUUUGCCCCUUUGCGGAUAAUAAUAUAUGUAUGUAUGUGUGAGUAUGUAUAUGUAUAUAGUAUGCAUGUAUAAGUGUGUAUAUAUGUAUAUAUGUAUGUAGCUCGGUUUACCUUCGGAAAAUUUUAUUAAUACCUCUUGCUUUUUUAGUUUUUCAUAUAAUAAUAUAAUUUUUAUUUUAUCUUUAAAUAUGCUCUCGAUCCAAGUAUUCAACUCUAUUUUUUUUAAUUGAAAUUAGAUACCUUUUUUACAAAAUAAUUAAAUUAAUAUUUGUUGAAUAAAUUGAAAUCAUUGGGAGCUAGAACAUUGCUACUACUUUGAUUCAUUAUAAAAAAAAAAUGUUAUGAUUGAUCUAAGUGAAAGAAAAAUAUAUCACCGUAUUAACAUCAUCAAUAGUAUUAGGAAGUUAUAAAAUAGUAACAAUCGAAAAAUAUUUUUUAAGAGUUUUGAGGUGCGUAUAUAUGUAUAUACUUCCUCAUUUCUAUGCACCGAUAUUUACAAUAAAUUUAAAAAAUUAGAGGGGCUAACAAAAAGGGCUUGGUUCACCCCUAUGUGGUUGGUAGCGAAUUCACACUUAGCCAUUGACUUUUGAUUCUUGGAAGCACUCCUGAUCAAUUUUUUUUUUCAAAAAAAGGUAAGGGGUGAGUAAACCUAAAUACAGUUUUUUUACUCUCUUCACCACUCCCAAAUAAGCCCAAAUACAAUUUUUACUCCCCUUACCACCCCCAAUAAUCGAAUCCAAAUUUUAAUAGAGGUUACCACUGCACUACAACUAACCCAACCACACCCUUGCGCUCCUGAUCAUUUGUGUAUUGUGUAUAUAUAUAGGUUAAUAUCUUUGGCUCCUUUCAGUGGAUCUGUCAGUAACAUCAAAAGAAAUGAAGCCUCAUGGUUUGUUCUGCCCAAACAUUCUCUCAUUUAUUUCUUCUCUUUUAUUGUUAUCUCAUGGGGUGGCUUUGGCAGCUGAAAAUCAUGAAAAAUUUCUCAAAUGUCUUUCUCUACAGUCUGACACCAUUUCUGAAGUGCUUUACACCCAAAACAACUCUUCAUAUUCAUCAGUAUUGAAGGCUUCAAUACAAAAUCUCGUUUUCUCAACCCCCGAAAACCCGAAACCUCUAUUCAUCAUUACCCCAUUUCACGUGUCCGAAAUUCAAGCAGCCAUUAAAUGCUCCAAAAAAAAUGGUCUGCAAAUUAGAGUAAGAAGUGGAGGUCAUGAUCAUGAGGGUCUUUCCUCUAU